Molecule: long non-coding RNA, 44816 nt
Filed under: Triticum aestivum (bread wheat)
Lineage: Eukaryota; Viridiplantae; Streptophyta; Magnoliopsida; Poales; Poaceae
Description: long non-coding RNA (TAES_LNC028508)
Rfam family: MIR1120/MIR1122 microRNA precursor family (bases 9495-9628)
Source: RNAcentral
UUUCAGUUUUGUUUGCGUUUUCUUGAUUAUCCUAUUAGCAUGUUCAGUGUUUUUUCUUACAUCUUUUGGCUUUUCCCUUUUAUUUUUAUUUUCCCCACUUUUCUUUACUUUUCCAUUUUCUUUCUCUACAGAUUUGCCGUGUCAUAGAAAUAUACACAUUUAUUGAGAAAUGCAUGAGUUUUUCUAAAUUACAUUACCACGUUUUGAAAUCACAUGAGCAUUUUUUAAGUACAUGAACACUUAUUAAAAUAAUAAUAAUAUCCUUUUCAAACAGGACAACAUCUUUAAUUUACAUGAUGUUGUGUCAUAGAAAACAUUUUAAAAGUAGAUGAUUUUUCUAUAAAAAGGCAUGAUUUUUUUAGAAAAUUAUAUUAAUAUUUUUUAAUAUACACGGACAUUGUUUCAAUUGCAUUACGUUUUAUUUAAAAAAUGAAAAACAUUUAAACCUAAUAUUUUUUAUGUGUAAAUAAAUUUACAAAAAAUGAAUAUUUUUAUCCUCUUUAUUACAGAUUGGAUUAUAAUUUUUAUAUAUAUUUUUAAACAAUUAAGAAAGCAAAAAAAGAGAGAGGAAAAUGUACCUACGUGAAUGGGCCGCAGUGGCCGCGCCCCAUGUAAGUCAUGUGUGGUCGACUGCGGUGAGGACAUGGCGACAUCAACAUCGGCAGGGAGACGACGAUUCAAACGGUGCCGGUCGAUGUAUCAUCGAGGUGGAUGGCGGCAAUGAUGAGGGCAGACGGGGAUGCCAGGGUAGGGGUGAAGGUGUGUGUUUCGUGGACUAUUUGACACAACAGGCUAAAAAAGGAAAACCAUUUUAAGAGAAGUGAGCAAAGUUGGAGCUCAGAAGGGAAAGCUUUGGUCGUGGGCUGGGCAAAGUGAUAAGCUCUGACUAGCAGGCCUUGUUAGAAGUAGGCUUCACGCAGGGCCCACGGUGGGCCGCGCACACGGAUCCUAUCCAUUCUCACCGCGCCCACUGCCGCCGACGAUAACGCCGGCCGCCGCCCACCACUUCCGCCAUCCCGUCCGCUCCCAACGGUAGCAAGAAUGUGCAGGUUUCCCCAACCCAUCAGCAACCUCAACCGCAGCCGGUUUCCCCAACCCACCAACAGCAGCCGACAGGGAGCUAAUCCCCGGCUGUCGUUCUACACGUCGGUGACUGGAUCGGCGGUCAGGCAGCAGCAGUCCGCCGCCCCGUCCACACAGACGGCAGCAAGCAGCAGCAGCAUCUCCUCAAAUUUUCAAGAUCUGGAGGUACAUUGCUUAGAUUUUCGAUCCCUCUCACAAUACCUGAUUUAGUUUGUUAUUACACUGAAAUAAGUGCAGCUCGAUUUGAUGUGGAUGUGGUGACAUUUUAUCUGAUCUGCAGAUGGGAUAAGUGAAAUAUGUGAAUGUGGAUCACAUUCACUUUAUGCUUGAAAGGAAUAACUCCGUUGGGCACAUUGACAUCGCCUCUGCUAGCCUACAUAUCACAUUCAGAUGGGGACGGAUUGCAAUGCAGAGAAAUAUGGGAGUGGAGACCGGAUAAUUCAGGUAAUCAACAGAGUAUUGAAUUGUACACAAUCGCUGUUCGCAACUUAUGGAGAUAAAAUAUGAGAGUGGCUCUUAAACAUUAAAAUACAAGUCCAACCGUGAAUCGUGUAUCUUGCAAAUAACCAGUAGAGUACUAUUACAUGCUAGUGACCCGUGAUUAUUCAUACAUCUCCAGACCUAAUAUGGACUGAAAGUAUCGAAACGCAGUGUUGACAGAGUCUGCUAGUCCCUGUUUUGAUUAUGGCAUGAGUUCGUUUUCAGAUGAGACGAAAGGCUUGGGGGGCAUCUGCAGACUCUGCAGCCUCCCUGUUAGCAUGUUAACAACCUUCGUCAUCGACGGACGGUUUCUCGGGUUCCACUGGAUGCACCAUAGCCACCAGCAGUCCGCCGCCCCGUCCACACAGACGGCAGCAAGCUGCAGCAGCGCUUCGAUUCAUCUCCUCAGAUGUUCAAGAUCUGGAGGUACUAAUGCAGACAACUAGUAGAGUACUAUUACAUGGUAUCCAGACAUAAUAUGGACUGAAACUAUUGAAACGUUGUGUUGACAGAGUAUGGUAGUCCCUGAAUGUUGACAGAGUAUGGCAGUCCCUGUUUUCAUUUAUGGCAUAGGUUCAUUUUUAUAUGAGACGAAAGGCUUCGGGGGCAUCUGCAGACUCUGAAGCCUCCCUGUUAGCAUGUUAACGACCUUUGUCAUCGACGGCCGGUUUCUUGGGUUCCACUGGAUACACCACAGUGCCACCAUAGCCAGCUUCCUCACCUUUUCUUUAUCUUCUUCAGUGGUUUCCAAAGUAAGCGCCAACUCCUCCCCAUUGAUCACUUUCUCGUAGAUCCACUCUGGGAGGUAAACAUCGUCCUGGCUCCCGAUUCUUGGGUCUGAAUUCCUCCUCCCACUUACCAUUUCUAGCACCAGCAUGCCGAAACUGUACACGUCUGACUUGUACGAUACCCCCCCAAAGUUCCGAGAGUAUAGCUCUGGUGCAAUGUAGCCCAUUGUGCCUCUUGCUGCAGUUAAGGUCACGAUGCUUUGGUCCCUUGCACACAACUUUGCAAGGCCAAAGUCUGAGAUCUUUGGAUUGAAGUUGUAGUCCAGCAGGAUAUUGUGAGGCUUGAUGUCAAAGUGGAGGAUGCGCUGGUUGCACCCUUGAUGCAAGUACUCCAUUCCCCUGGCGAUGCCUAAAGCAAUAUCUAGCAGCUUGUCUGGUACUAGAAGAUUCUGAAAAAUAUUAGAGUCAUCAGAGAAUAUGUAUUUCUCUAGUGACUCAUUAGGCAUGAAUUCGUAAAUAAGAGCCCGUCUCAUUCCUUCGGAACAAAAUCCUAGGAGACGGACAAUAUUGGCAUGGUGGAUUAGUCCGAUGGUUGCAACUUCAUUGAUGAACACCUCUCCCUCUCCAGUAGAGUUCUCUAGCAUCUUGACUGCCACGGGCACUCCAUUUUGUAACUCGCCUUUGUAUACACUUCCAAAUCCUCCCUGCCCUACUUUUUCCUUAAACCGUCUUGCCAUCUUCUUAACUUCGGAGAAAGUGUACCUCGUGGGUUUUGAUGUUCCAUAUGUCUUGAGGAACAUUUCAACCUUCAAAUGUAUCUCUGCAUUAUAUCUUGUCUUGAGUGAAAGAUAAAGCACAGUGGCCACCGUCACCAAAAGAACGACAAAUGCGGCCACCGAUGAUGUAGCUGAAUAAGCAAACAAUACGUCAUCAGCACAUUGCACCAGGGCUUAAAAGCCGUUAUUUAGUACUAUUUGUUAUGAUAAGAGGAUGUCAAGAGUCAGAGUAACCAGCAAUAUGAAUUUGUACAACAGAAAGCUUUUAUUUUUUCCUUUAUAUUUUGAAGCUAAAAAGACUUGGUUGGAGCAGUACCUGCAAUGACUUUGAUACGUGAACCUGCAAAUACCAAGAAAGAGAAUGAGAUAAAAAGCAAGGAAUUAUAUUUACAAACAAAUCUAGAACAGACAAAUUGAGUGUUGUCUACGGUGGCUGCAGUACAUUACCCUAGUAUAUGAGGAACAAACAUACGAUGCUAUUUAUGCCUUUUCUAGAAGAGAGAGAAAAAAUCUGUCACAACUUAUCAAACAAAUUUACUUUUUGGGGAAACUUAUAUUGCUUUGGUUCUAUCUAUGAUAGUGCCACUGGCCUAUUAGUUUUUUUUUACAUUUUUGUCAUGCACACAGCAGUUAGAGUCAACUGAAGGCCUUUUUCUGACUGGGCAACUUUUGUUCAGAAAAUGCCUGCAGUCACAUGCAUGUGCGCCCAGCGGCGGUCGCCUUGCUGCACCAUAGCCAAUCCUCCUCCUUUUCCGUUUCCACGCUCUGAAAUCAGAGCUGUAGCCUUCGCCAUUGGUGGAAACAAGGUCUCACAUUGGCGGAACAGAGCAGAGGGUUGCCACCUUUGUCCACAUAUUAUUACCUUCGAGUAACCGUCCACUCCAGCCUCUUACGCUGAUCCAGUGCCAUUGCUAGUUAUGUUUCAGUCGUGUUAAGCACCCCUCCUAUAGAGAUAAGCACUGGUGCUAGAGAAAAACUCGGUUUGUUUUACUAAGCACCUUGCAUUGUACAAGGCCUUACUCUGCUCUGUCCUCCCUGAUUCAUUCGCCCAAAAUACCUAGCUAGCUCGCCACUCGCUCAGGUACAGCCAUGCAUGUCAAUUGAGUGUUGCAUAGCAAAUUGUAGAAUAAAUAAUGUCCAAAAGAGUUUGGAUUAUUUAAAGCCAGUAGUGUCUGAUAGAUGAACGCAACUUUUUUUUUUCUAUUUGAUUAUUUCUGGGAUUUUUUUUCUGGGUACUUCAGUGUGAUUUCUCGAGCAGGAUUUGUGAUGCUAAUUUUGAAAGAAAAAUAGUUGACAGAAAGCCUCAUACUCUCAUGGAGAUUCGAACAUAUGGGAAGUAGAAUAAGUAAAUUGUAAAGUAAUUGACUACGCAACUUUUUUACAGAAUAAAACAGGAUGAUGUUAUAUAUGGUUUUGACUGUUAUAACUGAACAUACCAUGAGGGUCAGGUAUGCAGAAUUGUUCCUUCCUUUCUGAGCUGAACGCGCAGCGUUGCCCACUGAGUUCACAUUGCCUGCAAUUGCCACCAAACCAAUACACUGUCGUCUCAGCAAAACUGAGCAUUCUUUCUAUGCGUUCCUUGAAGGACAGUGAGAAGGGCGUGUAUGACAUUGGGUCCUCAAACAUAUACAUUGGUAUCAGCCGGCCACUGACGCCAUCUGAGAUUGGGAAAACCUUGCAGUCCAAUGGAAGACUGGACAUGGCUUUAUAACCAGACACCAAAUAAAAGAAGUGGGUUGUGUUGCUAAGGCAGGAUACUGGGCCAGCAAUGCUUUCGGCUGGACCAGGUGUGAACUCUCUUGAACAGUGUAGUAGGGUUGCAGAUGAACCCUCAUCAUUGAUAACAUCAACCUGUGGAGAUGAUGAGCUUCCGGAGAUGAUGAGCUUCUGCUGGAGCACCAAACAGGGGUCUACAAGCGGGGUGAUCUUCAUGGAAGAGCGCCUGUAAUCUAUGGCGCUGACACUGUAUGGGCCAAGAACUGGGUGGACUAGGAUGGUGUCUUGACCAAAGCAUGCAAACUUCCUGAUUGAUCUGCCGACACACCCACAUGACGACGAUGAUGAUGUAUUGCUGGAUUCAAGGCAGAGAGGAUACCUGAUCUCUGGGCCAUGUUGGCUGCACUGGGAAGGUGGGCAGUAUUUGAAGAAAUCUUGAUCAUCCCAUGCCGUGGCCAAGUAGAUUCCGUGGUUGAUCAGAGGCAGCAGCAGGAGGGCUGUGACAAGUAAUUUUCUCAUCUUUCCGUGCUUCUGCAACCGGGAGGGAGAAGAUGUGGCAAGUAGCCAAUAAAAAAGGCAGUCAUAGUUGUGCUCUAUGGAUAGUUAUGCCUGAUGAGUAGAUUUCAAAUGCUAACACCUGCCGUGUACUAGUGGUUUGAGUGUGAUUGCAGACUUGCUUCUGUCCAGUCCCUUGUUGCAUGGGCAAUAAAUAUGUUUUGAUUGGCAUUUUGCAUUUUGUGGAGAGAAGGAAUUAUCAUGUCAUGGGACAGAAGACUUCAAGCCUCGAGUCGUCUUUUGUUCCUAGCUACACAAUGGGAGAGAAAUAUCUUGCUCUACUUAACAGAAGACUCCGACUGGGUCGUCUUCUGUUCCUAGCUACACAAUUGAGAGAAUAUAUCCCUCUUUUACGGGGUGCGUCUAUACCAAUUACGUCAUAAUCAGUAUGCCAAUCACAUAUUAAUUGGUAUAUACAGCUGGAUAUGACCAACUAGUCGAUGUCGAUUCCUUGCCCCCCUUUGUACUCUGUAACAUAAGUAACUAGGAUGCCAACUCCGUAGUGCAUCUGUGAAGCUUUCAUGGGGAACACUGGUGCAUUUCAUCAUUCUAUUACCCUACAAUCCUUAACUGUCUUCUCCCUUGUUGCAGUUUUUGCAGCAGAUCAUGUCCUGGGAGGAGAUGAUGGGUGCUCACCUUUCUCCUGUGGGCAUCUCCAAGACAUACGACCCCCUUUCCGUCGGCGAGGUGAUCCUCUUGAGUGCGGUGUUGAAGCAUACGAGCUGGGUUGUACCAGUAGCAAGGCUACAAUUCACAUCAACACAGGAACAUACUAUGUGACUGCCAUCAACUACACCGGUUCCUACUUCUGGGCCAUGGAUCCCAACUUCAAUACCAGUAGCAGCUGCCCUCUUCCACCGUGGAAUCAUGUUCCUUACGUUGGACACUACGGAAUUGAUUCAAUUUCACCACCUGGCUUUCGGUAUUUGGUCCCUCAAAGCUAUGAAGCAGCUUGUUUUGCUAAUUGUUCGCAAGCAGUAACGAAUAAUAGUGCAUACAAGCCCGUUGCUUGCCUGAGUGCCAACAAUUCACAUGUUUAUGUCUGGGUGUCUAAUUACACGUACUGUGCGGUUGAAGAUCUUGAAUCUUAUUGUGGAUACCUGGCAGAGAUUCCAUUUGGUAACGAGUAUUCUCCUGAUUGGCGACAGCUGCAGAAUGCAAGUUAUGCAGAUAUCACACAAUUCACAAGUAAGGGGUUUACUGUCCGAUUUCCUGUGGACACCAUUUACAGGAGGCCUUCUACUUCUGUGAUGUUAAGAAAGAACAUCAAUUUAUGCCUCAACAAUUCAAUCAGGUGAUCACCCCGUUGUUCCAUUUCCUCCCGAUUUAGUUUCUCACCUCCCUAUUCUCUUGAAGAAUUGACUUGGGGCUGUUAAGCCAACCUGACGGUGGCAGCCUGCAUUAUAAUUUAUUUACAAUUGUAUGAUUUGCAGCUACUUCAAGGAGCAAAUAUUUGGCACAAGCAUUGUUAAUUGGACUCAUGCUAUUUUCUGGAGUGAGGUGCACUUCUUAGAAUGCGUGACUCAGAGCUCUAACAAUCACUACUACACAACAAAGUUGGUUUUGAUUGUUGCAACCAUAGUAUCUGCUAUUGCUAUCCCAAAGUUCUUUUUUGGUACGUGAGAAUUGUAUACACAUUUUACUUUCGAAAAAGAAUUUACAUUCUUUUAACUUAUGUCCAUAUCUGUCGACUUGUUGUGCAGUAAUGUGCAGGUUCUUGUUGGCACCCCUGGCUGUAUGGAUAUUCCUAGCCUACAAGUACAUGAAAACAAGGCUCAUAAUUGAUGCAGUUGAGAAUUUCCUCAGGAUUCAACAAAUGAUUGGCCCGGCGAGGUACUCCUACACAGAUAUAGUUGCAGUCACAAGCCAUUUCAGAGAUAAAUUGGGCCAAGGGUGCUACGGCUCUGUGUACAAGGGCGUGCUACUCCCAGGCGGCGUCCAUGUCGCCGUCAAGAUGCUAGAGGGCAAUUCCAACUGCAAUGGAGAAGAUUUCAUCAGCGAGGUCUCCACCAUCGGCAGGAUCCACCACGUCAACGUGGUGCGUUUAGUGGGGUUCUGCUCAGAGGAAAUGCGAAGGGCCUUAGUCUACGAGUACAUGCCCAAUGGUUCUCUGGACAAGUACAUCUUCUCUACCGAGAAGAGCUUCUCAUGGGACAAGCUCAACGAGAUCGCUUUGGGCAUUGCCAGGGGGAUCAACUACUUACAUCAGGGGUGCGACAUGCAGAUUCUGCACUUUGACAUCAAGCCGCACAACAUCCUUCUUGACAGCAAUUUCAUCCCAAAGGUCGCCGAUUUUGGGCUCGCCAAGCUGUACCCUAAGGGAGACAGUUUCGUGCCACUGAGUGCCAUGCGGGGAACCAUAGGCUACAUAGCCCCCGAGAUGAUAUCCCGGAGCUUCGGCGUCAUAUCUAGCAAGUCCGACGUGUACAGCUUCGGGAUGUUGCUGCUGGAGAUGGCCGGCGGGAGAAGGAACGCUGAUCCAAAGAUGGGGUCCUCAAGCCAGGCGUACUACCCAUCAUGGGUGUAUGACCAGCUGACUCAAGAAGAAGCGGGCGAGAUAUCUCCGGUUGCUGCCAACAUGCACGAGCUGGAGAAGAAGCUGUGCGUUGUCGCAUUAUGGUGUAUUCAGAUGAGGUCUCGUGAUCGGCCGACGAUGAGCGAGGUCAUUCAGAUCCUGGAGGCUGGAGCUGAUGGCCUACAGAUGCCUUCGAGGCCGUUUUUCUGCGACGAAGGGCACAUCCACGUAGAGGACUCUUACCAUUUCACUUCGGAGCUGACAGCGGUCUCGGAGGAGGAAUUGACCGUGGUAUCGGAGGAAGACGACGGUGAGAUAUACAGUGUGUGAUCCACUUUAUCUUUGCAUAAGUGCACCUAUAUGUAUGUAUGUACGUAUCAGUGAGUGAUGCACUUAGCUUAUGGUUGUAACAGUAUGAAUGAAUGUAUUGUACAAACUGCCUUGCUUGUUUGUUACCGGAGAAACAAACAGAGUAACUUCAAAUAUGUUUGAAAUCUGACACCAAUCUAUUUGUUUGUUCAUUACUUUUGAUACAAAUUCUGAUAGAAAAUAUUGCUUGAAACAAUAAAUUCUCGAUACAAAUAAGUUUGUGAGAGGUGACAAAAGGCAGCCUUUUUCUUGUUGAGAAACAUUUUCAGAGAAUAUUUUUUUCUUUCAUUCUGAUGGAGCUUGUCAACUGAGAAUCUAGCUUGCAUGCAUUUUUCUUUUGCAUAUGAUAGAUCCAUAAAGCCAUUGAUCUCCAAUUUCAUCACAAAUUUAUUGAAACGCAGUUUUAGUUUACAGCAACAGCAUUCUAGGUUGAGUUUCCAGCCGCGUAAUUGGCAUGGUUGUAGAGUCCCUCAUAUUCUCCCCUUCGAGGUUGUGCACCCGCAAGUGCGCGAAGACAUGCAUAGAUAGUUAUUUUUCGCUAAGAAAUCGCUCUGGUCAUCGAACUAGAUAAUUGCAUUUGAUAAACAGAACCACAGGCCACAGUUGGUCUUCUUACAUGUCGUCAUAAUUGCAUUUGAUAAACAGAACCACAGGCCACAGUUGGUCUUCUUACAUGUCGUCUUCGAUCGUAGGCAGGAAAGAAAAUUCCAGCUCUGAUUUAAUGGAACCCUGUGCCGUGUUGUAGUGGCUGCAUAGACUUGGUACAAUCCAGUCUUGUUGAAUGCCACUUGUACGUGCGACAAGGGGCGCCGUGUGGAAAUUACGGUAACACUGACGUUGCCCAUGUCUGAAGAAUGUGUGGACACUGUCAGUUGCCCUUUAGAUGGGGCAGAAGACUUCUGUUCCAACACCAGCAGUGCUGAUAUGGUCCUGAAGCUGCUAUUGUUGUUGUCCACUGCUUUGGCAAGUGGCAGCCCCUGUCACAAACUGCCUUCAUGGUUCUAGUAUAAAUCUGUAUAUGCGUGUAGCAUGGAGUUAUGGUUGAAACAGUACCAAUCUAGUAUAAAUGUUUUGUGCAAACUGGAUUCCAUGUUGUGCACUUGUUGCUGGAGAAACAAACAGAGUAAUUCAAGCAAGUUUGGAAUCUUACAUCCAUCUAUCUGUUUUGUUUGUUCAGUAGUAUUGGUACAAAUUAUGAUUGAAAAUAUUUUUUGAACCACUUGUGAGAGGCGACAAAGAACACAUUUUUCUUGUUGAGGAACAUUUUCUAGAGAAAUACUCCCUCCGUCCGAAAAUACUUGUCAUCAAAAUGGAUAAAAGGAGAUGUAUCAAGAACUAAAAUACGUCUAGAUGCAUCCCUUUUAUCCAUUUUGAUGACAAGUAUUUCCGGACGGAGGGAGUAUGUGUUUAUAUUCCUUGGGGGGAAAAGAGCUUUGUUUUUCACUCUGCUAGCAGUAACAUGCAAUUUUUUCUCACUGAGAAUUUUUAUGUCACUGAGAAGCAUUUUUCACUCUGCUUGCAUACAUUUUUUCUUUUGCAUACAUAAGAUUCAUAAAACCAUUGGUCUCCAGUUUCAUUAUGAAUUUGUUGAAAUGUGGUUUAAGUUUACAGCAACAUCAUUCCAGGUUGAGUUUCCAGCCCCAUAAUUGGCACUGUUAACAUAUUCACCCCUUCAGGAUUGCGCACCCCCAGGGAAUUGCUGCUAAGAAAUCGCCAUGGUCAUGGAAUUACACAAUUUCAUUUGGUAACCAGAGCCACAGGCCACAGCUGCCUGGGUCUUCUUACAUGUCGUCUUCGAUCGUAGGCAGGAAAAAGAAAAUUUCAAAUAUGCCGUGUCGAAUGCCAUUUGUGUGCAUGCGACGAGGGGUGCCGCGUGGAAAUUUCAGUAACACUGACGUUGCCAUGUUUGAAGAAUGUGUGGACAUUUUGGGUUACCGAGUAGACGGGGCAGAAGGUUCUUCCGUGCCAAUUGCACUGGUCCUGAAGCUGAGGGUGAAGCUACCAUUGUUGUUUUGUUAUACUGGCAACUGGCGGCCCCUGUCACAAACUGCCUUCCUGGCCCUGCACUUGUCAUUAGAGGAACAAAAUGGAGUAAUUUCAGUUAAAUUCCGACAAAUAAAUGUUUGAAAAAAGGAGCACCUCUAUUUCUUUUUGGAGAAGCAGAUACUUUUUCUGACAAAUGGUGUCCAUUUUCAUCAAAAAAAAAGAGAAGAAACUUUGCACCAUGGAUGACAUUCCAUCAACAUCAGAGAGAAGCUAACUUGAACACUUCCGCUUCGAUAGACCCCCCCNNNNNNNNNNNNNNNNNNNNNNNNNNNNNNNNNNNNNNNNNNNNNNNNNNNNNNNNNNNNNNNNNNNNNNNNNNNNNNNNNNNNNNNNNNNNNNNNNNNNNNNNNNNNNNNNNNNNNNNNNNNNNNNNNNNNNNNNNNNNNNNNNNNNNNNNNNNNNNNNNNNNNNNNNNNNNNNNNNNNNNNNNNNNNNNNNNNNNNNNNNNNNNNNNNNNNNNNNNNNNNNNNNNNNNNNNNNNNNNNNNNNNNNNNNNNNNNNNNNNNNNNNNNNNNNNNNNNNNNNNNNNNNNNNNNNNNNNNNNNNNNNNNNNNNNCGCAGUCAACGCAUCGUCUUCGCGCCGCGCCGCACAAGUCGCGGCCCCACCCCCCACGUCCCCCGACCGCACGCCAGCCCGCACCCGUCGCGUCCCCUGCCGUCCGCCAAUCACGCCGCCCGAGGCGCGCAUGCACGCAGACAGUUGCACGCGCGUGCUGUCUGCGGGACGCCACCGCUGCCGCCGCUGUCGGCUCCUCGCCUGUCGCGCCGCCGCUGCCGGCUCCUCGCCUGUCGCGCCGCUGCACAGGAAAUCCAUCUCUCGCAUUUUUUGACAACCGAUGAAGGACACAACACUUUGGUGUUUCAGUUAUGCUCAGAUGAUGGAGAACAAAAAGAAUGUGUUUGCAUGGCAGACCUUUCCGAACCAUCCUAAGACAACUGCAUGUUAUAGUUUCUUCUGAGUUACCUGGUUCAUAAACAACAUUGUACAUGAACUUGUGGUUAUCCUUCCAUGUCACCAUAUAACUCUGACGCUCAAUUCCCACGAGCGUCUCAAAUAUCUCCAGCUGACUUGUGCAAAUCAUCUUGCAAGAUGUAAAAAUUAGCAGGUGUGAAUACUUUGGCGGCAUGCUCCUCAAGUGCCUUAUAUUCAGUAACCGAUGGUGGUUCUUUCUGGUGUGCCGCACAGUCAUCGUACGCCUCAUUCUCACACAGGCAAACUAUAGAGUUCUCAUAAUGCACAACCAAAUCAACUAUUGUCAUACCGUAGUCCAGGUGAAGGUGAUGGAAGGAGUUGAGGCUUUCACUUCUCUAUUUUACUUCGCAUACCAAGAAAAAAACCAUCGGAAAGAUAUGAAGUUGCCCAAAGUCUCUUCUUCCUGUACAUCCUGUCAAGCCACUCUUGAGUUCUAUCCGUCUUCCACUUAUUAUAGAAAGUGGUCCAUCUCUGCUCAAAGUUCGCUUGAGAGGUGGCAUAGUAUAGGAGUGAUCUGAACUCAUCCAGUGACUUGUAAUGCAGGUGCCUUUGCAUAUUUUUCUCGAUAUGCCAGGAGCAAAGACGAUGGAAAACAUCUGAAAGGACAGUCCGAAUAGCCCGGAUCAUUGCAGCGUCACCAUCUGUGAUUAUUAAAUUUGGCUUCACCUGACAGUUUGCCUUCAUAAAUGUCUGCAGCAGCAACACAUAUGUCCCUUCCGUCUCGUCAGCAAUGAUGGCACAUCCAAACACUGUGGUGCAACGGUGGUUGUUAACUUCGACAAAGGGGACGAACGGCCUUCCAUACCUGUUCAUCUUAUACGUGCUAUCAAACACGACCACAUCUCUGUAGUCCUGAUAGUCCCUCCGCGACUGUGCAUCACACCAAAACAUACUCUUUAGUCGCCCUUCCUUGUCACGCACAUACUAAAAAAAAACUCAGGGUCCUUCUCCUUCCUGCUCCUCAUAAUGCCAAUUGUCGUCUCUGCGUCACCUUUUGCAAUGAGCUUCAUUUUCUCUCUGCAACAAAGAUUGGAAAUAUCCCUCCUGAUAAGCCCGCACUUACCGCAUGAACCGUAUCUGCAGAUAAAGUUGUCCAUUAUUAUAUGCUUUCUUAUCCCGGCCGCUUCCAACGCCAAUAUCUCUGCCCUCGUGCCUUCUCCAAUCCGUCUGUGUGACCGUAGAAAACAAACCUCAUCAGGCCUAGCCAUCGCAUGGUUGUGAUCAUCCAUGAAUGACGCGACGAACCAAACACCAUGUUCUCUGUCCAGCUUUACCACCAUAUGUGCACCGCAAUCGCAACGAGUCUCCGGUCUAAGCAUGCGCUUGCGGCCCUCCUUGGUUAUAAACUUGCUCUGCUUUCUACCUGCCCUGGAGCAAAGAAAUCUCCGGUACCGUAUCAUUCCUGAAGCACCUCGUUUGACCUUCUGUUUUCUGAUGCUAAACCCGUUCUCUUUGGCGUGAUUAUUAUAGAAUAUGUAUGCAUCACCUUGCGACCGAAAGGUCAUAGCCAUCACCUUCCAAUGUGUAUCCACCAUUUGCUGCGGCCUUCGAGCCUCCUCAAUGUCGAUCUCCCCCUCAUCGUGAUCACCGCUAAUACCAUCUGACUCCUCCUACAAAACUCAUACGAAAAUAUAUAUGUUAAUUACUAUCAUUUAGUUCAUACUAUUCAUCGAUGUACAACAUCUAUCUACGUACCUGGCUCAAGUUAUCCGCGAAUGAUUCCUGUAAACUAUUUUGCACAUUGUCAACAUCCACAUCUUCCUCCAAAUUUGUAUACAUAGAGAAAUAGUUAGCCAUGCCAUACAUUGCAGGUUCAAAUAUGAAAUCAAAAUAUACGACACUUACGUUUUCACUAUUUGCGCCAUGUUCAUUAUGAUCAAAAUCCUCCGGAGGCAAGAUAUCAAAUGACGACACGGAAUCGUUGUCGCUGCUGUCAUCAUCUUCAUUAAAAAUAUCGUUAUCAUUCCGAGUCGGCUUGUUAGUACCAUUAUCACCCCCCGUCAAUGCGGUUUGUUCAUCCAUGGCAACACGCCUAACUCACCAAACUGCAUAACAUUGUGAAUUCAUCAUGUGUUAAGUUUGUACUAUGGAUCAUGCCCAAGUGCAACUCUAACUGCCUACAACAUGCGGUCGUCCGGGGAGGCGCCGCUGCGACGGCAUGUUUACGUCAACCAUAAACCCUAGAUCACUAUGUGUGACUCAUAUCGUCUAGCAUGCUAGGUUUAGACGACGAGAUUAGAUGGCAAACCUUGGGCCACGGAGUAGACGUCGCCGGUGUACGAUGACGGUCCUUCGGGCAGCGGUCUAGCUAGCGGCGACGUGCAAGACGAGGGUUAGAUAGAAGACGGCAGCGACGUGGAAGACGAGGGCCGCGGUGUAGACGUCGCCAGCGUAGGUCGACGCGGGCCGGAUCGGCGGCGAGCGGACGACAACGCGGUCAGUCACAGCCGACAAGCCGUCCGACGGCGACGUUCAGAUGCGGCGUCGGAUGGGGUUCAGUCGGCGGCGAUCGGCCACGGCGGCGAUCGCACAGUUGGAAAAUGGACGUGAUCGACGUGCGUGAUCGUCGGGCGGGCGAGAAGAUCGUGCAGACGCCUUUGUUUUCUCUACACGCGCAACGAUCUUUUUUUUUGCAUUCCUCAAGGUAUACGGACGUCGGUCUAUACAGUAUGAUAGGAGGUGGGUAUACGUUUCUUCUGUAUGACCAUUAUGCCCUUCUACGUUUUGUUUGCGGGGGGGAGGGGUCUACCGAAGCAAGCCUCUAACUUGAAUACAUUCCAAUUCCGAUGCGACAAAUACAGCAAAAUAAAAAAAACAAAAUCAAUAGCAGGAACGCAGCUCAGCUCCCCAGUUUCAUCACGAAUUCAUUGAAUGAAGUCUUUAAUUUACAAGAACAUACUUCCAGAUUGAGUUUCCAGCAGCAUAUGGCCAUGCUCUCGUGAACAAAGUUCACCGUGCGUGCUGAAUAAUAAGCAAUAGAUAAUUUUAUUGCUCAAUAAUGAUUAGAGCUCACAAAGAUUACAAUUGCAAGCUGCAGUACACAAACUAAAAAGCUCGACGGAUGGAUCAGCGAAGAAGCGCUACAGCUCCUGAUUUCUGAAGAAUCGGCCGCAUCAGGUAUAGUUGUGCAGCCGUGCAUACACACGGAAGUGCUGAACUUGUCUAACAAUGCCAAAGAAAGUAAUUGAUGAGCUGAAUACUCAUUUCAUUCGGCAUUGGCAUCGUUGUAGAGCCUCUCAAGUUCUCCCCUUCAGGAUUGCGCACUGCCAAGUAAGCCAACUACCUUUUCUAGUUUGCAGCUAAUCAUCGCAGUCACGGAGAUAGGCAUCUUCGGUCGAAGACAGGAAAAAAUCCCACAGAGUAGUAAGAGACAACCAAGCUUGCUUUGCAGUGCAGAAUCUGGUAAUAAUUGCAAAUCAGUCAGCCGGUCAACAGAGUGAAUGAAUCUGUAUCUUUUCACAAUCUACUUAAUAGAGUAGUCGACGCAGUCUCUUAAUUUAGGAUAACUAGUCAAGUAUGAAAGACUGAAAGUACACAUCCGGUUACUUCGACAAACUUUAAACUAAGGAACAUCCCCAUCGUGGAAACUGCAUGAUCAGUUACUUGUUUCUAUGAUUGACCCUACCAGUUCUGUCCUAUGGAGUUAGGAGACGAUACACAUGAACAUGCAGAAAGAUCAUUAGUUGACAAGCUCGUAAUAAAUUCACACUACUAUGAGCUAAUAGUUGUGCAGUUCUGCUAAUAUAGGACAAGGUUCGUAAAAAAAAAAGCUGUGUAUAUGCACAAAAGAGUGGGGAAGAAACACCAAACACUAACCUUGGAGCGGUGAUUAUGUAUCACCUUAUCCUUUCUACAAGUCCUUUCUGUGUCAGUGCAACUGUAACGUUCCUUAUGUGGCUAAUCUUCAUUAUAUCUUCACUGAAUUCGUCUGAAUCUCUGUCCUGCCGGAGCUUCUCUAUCAGCUCUUCUGAUGUGUUCUCCAGAUAUAAUUUCUCAAGGGCUGCAAGGUGUUUGAUGCCACCAGGAAGAAACUUUAGCUUGGGGCAGUUUAUAAGCAGUAGCUCGAUGAGGUUUUGCAUCACGCCGUCCUCUAUUCCAACAUGGUUGAGCUGUGCUGCGCCCCAUAAGUUUAGAUACCGAAGUUCUGGAAAUGACCCAGCGUAAAAAUCCAACCUCUUCCCUUCAAAAGCAUUCACCAGCACAAGAAAGCGUAGACCACGUAACACGUGCAUACAGGAAAAGGUGUCCUCAUCAAUAUUGGAGAAUGCCAGGUGCAACCAAGUGAGGCGAUUAAGGUGUGACCAGGAAAAGAAAAGUUGAGGCAUUGAUAUUUUUUCUAGCUUCCCUCCUAAACCAAGCACAGAAAGGGAUGGAGGUAAAUAUAGCCCUUCCAGCUGCAGCACCUCAUUCUCAGCUGUUGCAGCACAAAUUUCAAGAUGAACAAGAUGGCUCAUUUUGGUGAUACCAUUGCUCAAGUCAACAGAGUGUUCGCUUCUCACAUUGCAGACACUGAAUGUUCUUAGCCUUGUCAGAGCUCCAACUUCACAUAGAAACCGACGGAUUGAAGAGCCCGAAGUCCUGCCAACUGCCGCAUGCCACUAGGCACCUUGACCCCGGCUAUACUUCCUAAUGUGCCCACAGUACACGCAUACAUGUAUCUCAAUUUCUGAAGCUUUACAACACUGUUUGACAAGUACGUCGGUUUAGAAUCACAAGCAUCCAAGACUUCCAAGUUUUGCAACCUUCCCACUGCUUCGGGCAGACUUUCAAGAUCGGUAUAUCUAAGGCCCAAAUAAUGCAGAUUAAACAAGUUGAAUACCUCAUUGGGCAACAUUUUAACACGAGUACCUUGCAGAUCCAACAUCGACAGGAAUCUCGAAGAUGUUAGGAUAGGCUUUAGCAAAUCAAUAUCAAUAUAGCUCUCAAAAACAUGGAGCGCACGGAGUUGCGCUACACCAGAACGGCUCAAGUGUUCAAGGGUUUCUUUCUGUACCGAUAUGCGACAUGCACCUUCUACACAAAAUGCCCCACUAGCAGAGCCACCAUAAACUUUACCAAAGCAUUCCUCCUUGGCAGGGCCGGGCCGGCAAAAUCCGGGGCCCUGUGCGAAACUACAAAUUGGGGCCCUGUGUUACUAAAUUUAUUUAACGAGCAAUUAUAAUAUGUAUAAUAUAAUGUCUUACAUAACAAUUAGAUAUAUAAAAAAUCAUAGCUAUUCAACUCCCGGUUGCAUAAUAUUUACUUGAACAACAUCAUAUUUUAGUAUUCUUUUAAAUGAAAUCUCAAGGGUAGAAGGACCAAUAGGCUGAUUAGAGCAUCAAAAUGAGUGUCCGGCCACGUUUUUUGACCCAGACAGGCUCCUUAGACGGGGCUCAAACCCCCGGCCUGACCGACACUUGAUGCUUCUUUUCUGUCCAUACCAUAUUUAUAAGGUUUAUUAAUUACAUUUUGUUCUCUUUAUUUUCUCUAGCCCUCCUGGAUUAAACUCAUGUUUCUCAUGAUGACUUAAAUAUGUAUUACUGAAACAGAAGAUAAAAAGAUGAAUAAAAUAAAAUUGUACUGAUACGGCAGCAGAUACCAAUUAAAAAUUAUGUGGCAAUGUCACACAAUUAGACGAACGGUCUAACUUACCUAGUAUCAUGUCAGUCCAGUUGAACUGUUAAACUAUGAUCUUUCAGCCGAGGAGGCAAGAAUCGAUCACUAAUGAUAGACCAAAACUUAAUUAGGAUUCAGGAAAUUAGAAAUUAAAAGUAGGAGCUGAAGUUAAUCAGGAAAGACUCGCUAGCGGCAAGCUACCUGUUUUGAAGUCGUGAACGAUCUAGAGGAUGGAAGCCGUGAAGUACCUGAAGUCGGUCGCCAAUCAAUUCGAUGAGGCGACGAGUCUAGGAGAGAAAGACAACAGCCGGCCGAUCGAUCCGAUGAGUCGACGAGACGAAGCCACGAAGGCGACGAUCCCGACGCCGACGCGACUGCUAAUACGAUUUUGCGUUCGAUCGAGUGACGAGUCCACGAUCCCUUUUUUUCAGAGGGACCCACGAUCACGUUUUUCUUCUUACAGAUCUCGAUCAAUCCAGCAGUUUUUUUUUAUUUGAGAAACACCGAUCGAGCCGAUCUUUUUUUUAGGAAAGAGAAGAUUUUGAGAAACACCGAUCGAGCAACAGGUGGAGCACCAGGGCCCAGCGGGCCCAGCGUAGCAGCUCCUACGAUUUGUUUUUUAGAAAUACUAUGCCUACAUAAAAAAAUGUGGGCCCCCACAUAUUAUGGGCCCUGUGCGGGCCGCACAUACAGAACAACUAUGGGCCCGGCCCUGCUCCUUGGCUUUGUUGAGGGCAGGAAGACGUAUGUCAUCAUGCAUCCGAUAGCAUUUCAGUCGUCCAGCAUAAUUCCUUUCCACUACAUGUAACAUGCUUCGGUUCACAAGCUCAACCAAGUAUCCCUCGGCCACUUCCUCCAAUGUUUUGCUCUCAUCUUUUUUCGUGAUAAACCCUGUCGUGAUCCACUACCUCAUUGUUUUUCUCCUCUUUAAUACAUAAUCUUCCGGGAACAAUGCACAUUGUAGGAAACAAUUCUUCAAAUCAUAAGGAAGGUCCUCCAAGCUGACUUUUAGGAUCAUAUGAGAAUCGGGGAUCACAUCUUUCGCCAACUGCGAAUCCAAACCCCUGUACACAUUCUCCAAUUCAGCAAGAGUUGCGGGUCUGCAGGAGAGUAGGCGGCCAAUGCAUGCAAUAGCAAUAGGCAAGCCUUGACACUUUGCUAUGAACUUUCAAGCCGAUUUCUGCAACUCCAAGAGGCACCCUUUGCCGUCAUCAUUCCAAAAUGCUCCUUUGCAGAACAACUCCCAGGAAUGAUGUGCUUGUAGCGGUUCCAAGUGAAUUGAAUACUUCUUAGUUGCCAACAGUGAUACUUCAUGCUUUCCCGAUGUGACAACAAAAUGGCCGGUACAGUUAGAUGUUGGGAAGAUAUCCCUUAUCUCCGACCACACACGCGCAGCCCAAACAUCAUCCAGGACCAUGAUGAACUUUUUACCUUGAAGAUACUUGUGGAUGGACUCUGCUAGGCAUAUCAUCACAAUGUUGGCGACGUCGACUGUGAUGCCGAAUUGGGCACUGAUCUUCUUCAGCAGAUCCUCAAUACAGUAACUUUUCGGCACGGUUACCCAUGCAUCCAAAUACACUUUCACGGUGUUGUACACAUGAUCAACAAGAGUGGUUUUGCAAACACCAGGUAUCCCCCACACCAUGGUGACUUUGCUACUGCUCUGCUCCAGAUCAUCACCACCGCCCGGUUAGCCAUCAUAUCAACUUCUCCUUGUUCUCUUCNNNNNNNNNNNNNNNNNNNNNNNNNNNNNNNNNNNNNNNNNNNNNNNNNNNNNNNNNNNNNNNNNNNNNNNNNNNNNNNNNNNNNNNNNNNNNNNNNNNNNNNNNNNNNNNNNNNNNNNNNNNNNNNNNNNNNNNNNNNNNNNNNNNNNNNNNNNNNNNNNNNNNNNNNNNNNNNNNNNNNNNNNNNNNNNNNNNNNNNNNNNNNNNNNNNNNNNNNNNNNNNNNNNNNNNNNNNNNNNNNNNNNNNNNNNNNNNNNNNNNNNNNNNNNNNNNNNNNNNNNNNNNNNNNNNNNNNNNNNNNNNNNNNNNNNNNNNNNNNNNNNNNNNNNNNNNNNNNNNNNNNNNNNNNNNNNNNNNNNNNNNNCCCCCACGUAUGUGUGUUCUUUGUAUCAGGCCCAUGAGGAAAAAUGAUUCUAGGCAAAUUUUGACGCAACAGACCUGUACAUGCGAACAUUACAUGUGGGCAAGUAAAUCAGCGAUUCGCUAAAUUGGUGGAACUUCCGUUUCCCUCGCAUAGGUCCGCGCAUGACGAUAUGAGCGAUAUCACGCACGACUCCUCAAGUCCCGCAAGUCCAUGUGCGACCCCGCCGCCGACACAGCCUCCUCCCGCAGAUCCCUCCCCCGAUGGUUCCUCCUCCAAUGACGAUAUGAGUAAUUUCAUGUUCAUCACCAUGGAAAGGAGUAACAAUACCACCGGCCCUGGCAGGCAGAAACUACAGAUUGAUCAGGUUAGCAUCUUCCUGAUGCAUCAUCCAACAAAGCUAGAUAGAUUGUUAUGUGAUUUAUUAGUGGCAGAAUUAGGAGAUAGUGAAUUAGCGGAGAAGACUAGGAUGCCCGUCUGACUAAUUUUUGUAUGGCAAUCCUUCUGACUAAUAAAUCUGGUUGUGUUGGAUAUCGAUGAAGAGGGCAGAGGGUGUGUAGAAUCUAUGGAACAAUGAUGAUAGCCAAGCUUAAAUUAAUUGGAGGAUUCAUGGUCGAUUCAAUAUUAUUAGGUGGCAAAAUUAAUUUUUAGUGUUGCAAAUUAUAAAGUCAUUCCAGCUAUGCGGAGGAGCUCAAAUUACUUUUGUUUGCCAAACUAUGAUGAAAUAUACAAUGGAUGAAACUUCUCUGUCAAAAUCUUAACAAAAGUGAGAAAUAAUUAAUAUAACAAUAUAUAAUUAGAUCCUUGAACUAGGUCGCAAGCUGGUUUUGCACUCCAUGAUAAAAAAAAGAGCAAUUCAUGUUUAAAAAAUUAACUUUUUUUGAGUUGAUUUUAAAAAAAUUAACUAAGCAUGCACAUAAUGAUUAUAAUUUUGGAUAAUAAAGGGCCUCAAGUUUUAUUUUCGCCCCGGGCCCCCGAAAUCUCAGGACCGGCCCUGGUGAAGUGCAAAUCUUGACCUUGAUUCGUCGAUCUGGUAGCAGAAGCAGAUCUGCGGGUGAUGGCGUAAUCCCUCUUCCUCCGAUUGGCAUCCUGAAGCUGGGCUUCGAUUUCUUGGAGCUUGGCUGCCAGCCGGUGCCAGGUCUUGAUAUGCUUGAGCCUCUUCUUCAUCUUGCCGGCGAACCUUCCGUGCUUGGAGUCCUCCAUCUUGUAGAUGAACUCGUCGACGACGUCCUCAAUUCGGAAGUCGAGGCCCCUGAUCUCGCCAACAAAGAUGGACGUGGUCUCGUCGGUGUCCUUGAACCGCUCUGCCUUCCGCAGGUAGGCCUGCAUGCUCUCCAGCUCCACCUUGGACCGGCGAAUCUUGCUGAAUAGAUCCCUCAGGGCCGCAGCUUUCUUGCACGGCAACGCCCUGCCGUAGGUCGCCACCUCUUUCGCCAGCGCCCGAGAGUCACCACCAGCUGUCCGAUAACAGCCUCCGCCAUGGUUCUUGAGGAUUUUUUUCUCGUCUGAGAUGAUUGAUGGUUGUUGAGGCUUUGAGAUGGUUCUCUUUCAACAGCCUACGCCAUAGUCGUUGAGGCUUUGAGCUGUUUUUUCACUAGCCACAAGUGGACUGACGGACAAGGUUUUGGUUACCGAAUGAGGCAAUUUUACCGAGGGGGACGGGUAAACGUGGUUACCACGGUUACCGGGAAAUACCGAGAAAUACCAAGAGUAUUUCGAACGAAUUUUAUAGUUGAAUUUUGAAUUCAAAUAAAUGAAUGAACGAACAUUCGAACCAGAGACCUGUCAAAACAGGAACUAGGUUGCUACGAACACGUCAUAAUCAACUCUCAUGGCAUUAAUUAGAUCCUACACACUUUACUACAAAUAGAGCGUUUAAAUUCAAAAAUUUCAAAAAAAUGGUAUUUUUUGCUCAGUAUGAGGAUUUAUCGAGGGGCACAGAAAUAUGCAGUAACCAUGGGAAAUUUUGAAAUUUCGAUCGGUAACCAAAACCUUGCUGACGGAUACCUAUACAACACUUGUAUUUUAGUUUUUUGCAAUUUGGUAGCACUCCGCCCACGUGGGUUGCUCUCUCCUCUCAACUGCUAGCUGGGUUUGAUUAGAUCUAACCUCCAUGGGGCUGGGCCACGCGCUGCAAAGAGCUCCUACCUCUCUCUCAGUUUACAAGGCGUGCGCGUAUCCCUAGGUCGUCAAUUUGAUCAAUCUAAUAUAAAUAAUAUAUUACAAAAAAUAUACCAAUAUAAACUUCAGAUUUUCUAUUUUCAGAAGAUAUAAUUUUUGUGUUAUAUAGUUUAUAUUAGGGUGAUCAAAUUGGCAACCUAGAUAUACGCGUAGGAAUUGUAAACUGAGAUGGAGGGAGUAGUAGUAGUGGUAGAUUAGUUUACGAUGCAUCCAGCGCACGCGCAUCUUUUGAACAACGUCCCCCAAGAUGCGCACCAUGUCCCUCGUGAAUCGAUGCAAGUGGUCGUCACCUUCUUCACAAUCUACAAACUACUCCCUCCGUCCGGAAAUACUUGUCAUCAAAAUGGAUAGAAAGAAAUGUAUGUAGAACUAAAAUACGUCUAGAUACGUCUUCUUUUAUCCAUUUUGAUGACAAGUAUUUCCGGACGGAGGGAGUACUAGUAUUACAUCUGUUACAAAGCACAUUAGUACUCCUCAACUAAUUAUCAAAAAAAUAUACAUUUGGUGAUACAUGGAAAAGUAGAGCACUAAUAUAAUACCGACAUAUAGAACAAUGAAAAUGGACAAUGUUAAUUGAAAAGAGACCAAACACUAUAUAGCAAUCUGGUAUCACCGAGCCAGCGUUUGCGUAUCCUCCAUGUCACAUUAUGAAUGUGACGCAUUUCUGCAAAACGCAAACACCACGAUUAGCAUGGUUAGAACUUUGCCCCUCCAUGUCAAAUUACAGUUCAUAUUUUUGUGGAAACAGAGGUGGACCCAAAGGACACCAGUGAAGAACUGAAGAUAACUAGAUCAGCUUGCCUCCAAAAAGCAGAAGAAAAUGAAGAAAGGAGAAGCCCUGGAGGAUAAAAUGUAUGCUCCACAACAAGAUGGCUUGUACCCGAAGAGAGGCAAGAAGACCUAUUGAAGUUUAUCUCCAGGCAACAGCUUUGUUAGUUUUCUAUUCAGAAUUCAGUUUACGACGAGAUUUAGUAUCCUUUUUUGCAUUUUCAUUACUCGUGAAAUGCCGAGUAGGCACGAACUCCCCCCAAUUUGCGACCUACCAUAGGAUUUGUUAUGUAAAUAGGUAUAUAUUCCUUUCCAUUAUGAAUCCUGAUUGUACGGCCAACCAUUGUGUGUACGACGCUAGAUGCCUGGGACACGUUACUAUUGUUUCUUUCUCCUCCUUAAUAUUAACAUUUUCUAUCUUUGCCCUUAGUACUAUGGCUCAAACAUAUGUAACAAGUGAGUGUCCUUUUGUCUCCAAUAGUACCAACUACUCCCUAGCCGUGGAGAAGUGCAGACUUCUCUUAUGUAAUGUUGAGCUGAAUGUUGGUCUGAGUUCUGAGGUCUGAUUUCUGAAUGUAUACAUCACUUGUGUAUUUAUUUUUUGUAAUUUGGUACCCCGACCAUGUGGGUUACUAUGUCUCUCUUCACUUCAGCUCCAUACUAUCUACCCUCUCGCUUCAAACAAAAUCCAUGCAUUUUAUUUCCAUUUGAUAAUUUAUAUGUGGAAACAGAACUUACAGGUCUUCCAACAAGGCCGCCUCCUCCUCCCAACCCUAGUCGCGGCCUCCUCCCAACCCUAUCUGCCCCUCCUCCUCACCCCUCCACUCCUCCCUCCCUCGCCGCCGCCUGAGGCAGCCGCCGGGCAAGCCCGGGGCGCCAAGGAUGGUGGCGGCGGGGACUCAGUUGCCCUGCUCCUGUGUGGGGAACCCCAGAUCUGGAGCGACGGCUCCAUUGGCAAGGCACGACCGACUAACAUCCGUGCAGGUGGUGGAUCCGGUGUCCCAGCCGCGCGGGCGGUGGGAUCCGGUGGUCAUUGGCGGCCGGCGGUGGCUUCUGCGGCGGUCGAUGUGCGCGAUCUGGCGCCUCCCUUCCUCCCUUGUUCUGCGUGCGGGCCAUCCUAUUCGGGCCGCGCUUCCUCUCGGUCACCGGUUCUGUAUAGGAGGUGCUGCUAGUGGUGGAGAUCUAGUUCGAGCGAAAUCACUGUACGGCCAUGACCGGCCGUGCCGACGAUGACGCCUGAGGGCGCCGUUUUCCUCCUUGGAGGCGUCGGUAUGGACUGAUCUCCUCACUUCACCUUCCUCUAGGUCUCCCGGGCGAAAGCCCUAACUCUGUUGGGCGGCGGCGGCGUUCACGGUGCCGUUCCCUUCUUGAAGACGUUGCUUUGGGAACCUUAAGGUUGGGUGGCACUUGUGGGUGGUGGGCGACGGCGGUGGUGCGGCCCUUUCCUAGCAUGGAUUUACGUCCAUUGCUUGGAGAUGGACUCGCGUAGGUGGAGGUCGUCGGCUGGCGUCGUGGUGGUGUCAAUGGCGGAGGACCUGCCAAGGCUCGCGUAGGUGGAGGUCGUCGUUUGGUGUCGUGGUGGCGUCGAUGGCGGAGGACCUGUCAAGAUUGUCACCUCAGUCUGCUCUGAAGAUGGACCAGUGGAAGAUGGCGGCGACGACACAUGUGAGCGUGUUAGACCGGUUUGAGCCCCGAACCCGGCAGAUGGCUCAGUCGGGGCCUCCAGCUUUAGAUGUUAGGCUUAGGUGAGAGGUAUGGGUAUGUGGCCCAGCUUGCACCCCUUCAUCAUUUGAACAGGAGUAGCGGUAGAUGCUGCCAAGAAGGCGGAUUCAGGCAUAUUGUUGUUAUUCUUUGUAAGGUCCUCGAGAAUAAUUAAUAAUACUAGUUGUCAACCCGUGCAUUCGCACGGGCUAGCAUAUUGAGAAUGUCAGAUGGAAUAUCUCUUUCUUUGCGAUAUAGCUUCCUUUGUUUCUGCUCUAAUGAUGUUAGAUGACUACCGUUAGAUUCUAGUACUGCAAGUUGGGAGCUUGGUUUACUUAGGCAGCAACCUAUUCAUGUGUAUUUGUUUUAUUUUCACAUUUGGAAUGUUUGGUCACCUCAUAUAUGACUAUAUUAUAUUUCAAUACCAUUAAAUAAUCUAGGUAGUUAACUGGUAUAGGAUUAAUUCCUCGUAUUUUUUAAACAUUAGCUUUUGUUGUUUGAUUUGUUCCACUAAGUUCGACGCAUGUUGACCAUGGCUAGUGAGCAAUAGGGGUGCUCAAUAUUUAAUUGUUUUAGACAUUUAGAUAUAACCCAAUCAUCUACUACAGAUUAAUUGGCAUUUUUGUUAUUAAAAACAAAGUAUGUAUAAAGUACAAAUCACAUGUGCAUGUACAUUUUUUGAAAUCCUAAAUGUUACAAAAUGUUUAUCAAUGCGCUACUUGUUUUUCUAGUCCUUGAUGCACCAUGUUUUGGAAUGUCUCAGGUCGUCGAUUGUUUAUCAACCCCAUUACACAAUAUGUCCUCAGUUUUGAAUCUUUAUGACUUUGAGAACCUUCCGGUCUUUGAUUUGCGGCCUGCUUCAUCAUAGUUCUUGAUUCCAUGAAUUUUGAUUCAUUCAUUUCCUGUCAUCCAUCAGUUUCUGAUUCUUCAUCAAGAUGCAUAACACGACUCGUGUUCCCUGCCCUAAAAAUUUUAGUCUAGUUUACAAUGACUUCAUCACUAACCAGCACUUGCUUUGAUGUUUUCAAAGCAGGUGACCUUUUUCACUUACUCCUGGAAAAAAAGAAUGUAUUAGCACUAGUAGAAAAGGGGGCAAUGGCCCAGGCCAGUUCAGCCCAUUAGUCCCGGUUCAAUCCAGAACCGGGACCAAUGGAGCUAUUUGCCCCGGUUCGUGAGCCCAGGGGGCCGGCCGGGUCACGUGGGCCAUCGGUCCCGGUUCGUCCGGACCUUUUGGUCCUGGUUGAUGGGACGAACCGAGACCAAUGGGCCUGGCUCCUGGCCCACCACUAUUGGUCCCGUUUGGUGGCAUGAACCGGGACCAAUGGCUACCCGUUAGUCCCGGUUCAUGCCACGAACCGGGACCAAUAGUGCUGCCUAUAUAUACCCCCUCGCUCGAGCAGAGCACUCCAGUGCUCUGUUUUUCUCUUGCCGGCGAGGGGGGGCUUUGUGGUGCUCUAGCUCACCUCCAUAGCACAUGAGGUGUUCGAUGAAAUGCCCGAGCCACACUACUUAAGCUUUCUCCUCUCCAAGCUCGACCUCCAACCUCUAUUUUCCUCAAUAUUUGUCUAGGUUUAGCGGUCGAUCACGCCCCGUCCCCGUCUUCACCGCCGUCGAUCACCCGUGCCGAUCUCAUCGCCAGCACCACCGUGGUGAGCCUCUUGUUCUUAUCUUCUUUCUGAAAGGAAAAAUAUUCUUACUUGUAUUAUUUUCUUACUUUUAUUAUUGCAUCUUAUAUAGUGCGAUGGUUUUGGUAUCCGCCCCCGUCGGCCCUCGUCCUGUCUAUGAUUCGGAUGUGGUAUAUAUUAUCUUUUCAUAACUAUUGGUUCAUUUAUUGUUUAUGAAAAUUAUGCCGACCAACGUGACAUAGAUUUUAUUUAUCUAGGAGGUUGUUGAACCGGAAAUUCCAACCGACCCUAUUGUCGAGAGGUUAAAUUUAGUUGAAGAACAAAACAAUUUCUUGAAGGAAAAAAUAAAAAAACUUGAGGAGGAGAAGAUGAUAUUGGAGUUGCAUGUUGCGGAUGUCGUCGAUGAUCACAAGAUCAAGAUGGAUGCAAUGCGCUUGAAGAUGAGAAAGAUUAGAAAAUAUGCCAUUCAUACCGAGGCUUGGUAUCAUUAUGCCGUUGGAUCAGUUGUUACCUUGGUUGCGAUUAUGAUCGCAUUUGUUUUCGCAUUGAAAUGUUUUACAUAGUUUCAAUGUAUGGUUUAAUUAAUUUAGAUGCUCUGCAGAGCUUUAUGUUGUUAGAUGAGAACUAUGUAUGUACUUUGGUUUUUAUGUGAUGAUGAACUUCUAUUAAUUUAGUCACUUAAUUAUCUAUUCAUGAUGUUCUGUAAUGAUUUUUGACACACUUAAUUAUAUAUAAUGCACGCAAAUGAACCGACAAUGGAUGUACGGUGACAGACACACCUCCGAGUACAUUAAGGGCAUGCAUGAUUUUCUCGAAGUGGCUGAGGCAAACAAGCAGAAUGGUUUUAUGUGUUGUCCAUGCCCUAUAUGUGGGAAUACGAAGUCUUACUCUGAUCGGAAAAUCCUUCACACCCACCUGCUUUACAAGGGUUUCAUGCCACACUAUAAUGUUUGGACGAGGCACGGAGAAAUAGGGGUUAUGAUGGAAGACGGCGAGGAACAAGAGUACGAUGACAACUAUGUGCCCCCUGAAUACGGUGAUGCUACUGAACAUCAAGAUGCACCAGACGAUGUGCACGAUGGUGCUGCAACGGGCGAAGCUGCUGAAGAUCAAGAGGAACCAGACGAUGUGCCCGAUGAUGAUAAUCUCCGCCGGGUCAUUGUCGAUGCAAGGACACAAUGCGAAAGUCAAAAGGAGAAGUUGAAGUUCGAUCGCAUGUUAGAGGAUCACAAAAAGGGGUUGUACCCCAAUUGUGAAGAUGGCAACACAAAGCUCGGUACCGUACUCGAAUUGCUGCAGUGGAAGGCAGAGAAUGCUGUGCCUGAUAAAGGAUUUGAGAAGCUACUGAAAAUAAUGAAGAAGAAGCUUCCAAAGGAUAACGAAUUGCCCGACAGUACAUACGCAGCAAAGAAGGUCGUAUGCCCUCUAGGAUUGGAGGUGGAGAAGAUACAUGCAUGCACUAAUGACUGCAUCCUCUACCGCGGUGCCUACAAGGAUCUGAACGCAUGCCCGGUAUGCGGUGCAUUGCGGUAUAAGAUCAGACGAGAUGCCCCUGGUGAUGUUGAUGGCGAGCCUCCCAGGAAGAGGGUUCCUGCGAAGGUGAUGUGGUAUGCUCCUAUAAUACCACGGUUGAAACGUCUGUUCAGAAAUGGAGAGCAUGCCAAGUUGAUGCGAUGGCACAGUGAGGACCAUAAGAAAGACGGGAAGUUGAGAGCACCCGCUGACGGGUCGCAGUGGAGAAAAAUUGAGAGAAAGUACUGGGAUGAGUUUGCAAAGGACCCAAGGAACGUAUGGUUUGCUUUAAGCGCGGAUGGCAUUAAUCCUUUCGGGGAGCAGAGCAGCAAUCACAGCACCUGGCCCGUGACUCUAUGUAUGUAUAACCUUCCUCCUUGGAUGUGCAUGAAGCGGAAGUUCAUUAUGAUGCCAGUUCUCAUCCAAGGCCCUAAGCAACCCGGCAACGACAUUGAUGUGUACCUAAGGCCAUUAGUUGAAGAACUUUUAUAGCUGUGGAAUGGAAACGGUGUACGUACGUGGGAUGAGCACAAAAAGGAGGAAUUUGACCUAAAGGCGUUGCUGUUCGUGACCAUCAACGAUUGGCCCGCUCUCAGUAACCUUUCAGGACAGACAAACAAGGGAUACCACGCAUGCACGCACUGUUUACUUGACACCGAUAGUAUAUACCUGGGAAGCUGCAGGAAGAAUGUGUACCUGGGCAUCGUCGAUUUCUUCCGACCAACCAUCAAUGUCGAAAUAAAGGCAAGCAUUUCAAAGGCGAGGCAGAUCACCGGAAGAAGCCCGCCAUGCGUACCGGUGAUCACGUACUUGCUAUGGUCAAUGAUUUACACAUAAUCUUUGGAAAGGGUCCCGGCAGACUAGCUGUUCCGAAUGACGCUGAGAAUCACGCACCCAUGUGGAAGAAGAAAUCUAUAUUUUGGGACCUACCCUACUGGAAAGACCUAGAGGUCCGCUCUUCGAUCGACGUGAUACACGUGACGAAGAACCUUUGCGUGAACCUGCUAGGCUUCUUGGGCGUGUAUGGGAAGACAAAAGAUACACCUGAGGCACGAGAGGACCUGCAACGCUUGCACGAAAAAGAGGGCAUGCCUCCGAAGCAGUAUGAAGGUCCUGCCAGCUACGCUCUUACGAAAGAAGAGAAAGAAAUAUUCUUUCAAUGCCUGCUCAGUAUGAAGGUCCCGACUGGCUUCUCGUCGAAUAUAAAGGGAAUAAUAAAUAUGCCAGAGAAAAAGUUUCAGAACCUAAAGUCUCAUGACUGCCACGUGAUUAUGACGCAACUGCUUCCGGUUGCAUUGAGGGGGCUUCUACCGGUAAAUGUCCGAUUAGCCAUUGUGAAGCUAUGUGCAUUCCUCAAUGCAAUAUCUCAGAAGGUGAUUGAUCCAGAAAUCGUACCAACGCUAAGGAGUGAUGUGGCGCAAUGUCUUGUCAGUUUCGAUCUGGUGUUCCCACCAUCCUUCUUCAAUAUCAUGACGCACAUCCUAGUUCAUCUAGUCGACGAGAUUGUCAUUCUGGGGCCCAUAUUUCUACAUAAUAUGUACCCCUUUGAGAGGUUCAUGGGAGUCCUAAAGAAAUAUGUUCGUAACCCCGCUAGGCCAGAAGGAAGCAUCUCCAUGGGCCAUCAAACAGAGGAUGUCAUCGGGUUUUGUGUUGACUUCAUUCCUGGCCUUAAGAAGAUAGGUCUCAUUAAAUCACGGUAUGAGGGGAGACUGACUAGAAAAGGCACGCUUGGAAGGGACUCAAUAAUAUGCAGGGACAGAUAUUCUUGGUCUCAAGCACACUACACAGUUCUACAGAACUCUACCUUGGUGACCCCGUAUGUCGAUGAACACAAGAACAGUCUGCGCUCCAAACACCCGGAGCAGUGCGACGACUGGAUUACAUGUGAACGCAUCAGGACUUUCAGCAGUUGGUUGGAAACACGUCUCAGAGGUGACAGCACUGUUUGUGAUGAGCUGUACUUGUUGUCCAGGGGACCAUCUUCGACUGUAAUGAUUUGGAAAGGAUACGAGAUAAACGGGAAUACAUUUUACACGAUUGACCAAGAUGAAAAGAGCACCAACCAAAACAGCGGUGUCCGUUUUGAUGCAGCAACCGACAAUGGAAAUAACACAUAUUAUGGUUACAUAGUAGACAUAUGGGACUUGACUACGGAGUAGAUUUUAAGGUCCCUUUGUUUAAGUGCAAGUGUGUCAAUCUGUCAGGAGGCGGGGUACAGGUAGACCCACAGUACGGAAUGACAACAGUGGAUCUGAAAAAUCUUGGGUACACUGACUAACCGUUCGUCCUAGCCAAUGAUGUGGCACAGGUUAUCUAUGUGAAGGACAUGUCUACCAGACCGCGGAAAAGAAAAGAUAAGGAAGCGAAUACAUUAUACAAUGAGCCAAAGCGCCACAUAGUUCUUUCAGGAAAAAGGGACAUCCUGGGAGUGGAGGGCAAGACAGACAUGUCUGAAGAGUAUGAAAAGUUUCAUGAAAUUCCCCCCUUCAAAGUCAAGGCUGACCCAAGCAUCCUGAUAAACGAUGAAGAUUAUCCAUGGUUUUGGCGCAAUAAGCAAACGACACAAGCGAAGAAAAAGUGAAGAUUUUCUCCCGCAACUAUUAUGAUGAUACCAUGCCAACUUUGUAAGAGACGAGUAUGAUACCAUUGUCCGUUUUGUACAUGCACAUGCUAUGCCAACUUUUUCAGAGUUCAUUUGAAAACUAUGAAUUUGUAAACCUCGCCAACCGAAGGGCGCUCACACCGGUUUAUAAGCCCGUCCCUCUACACGCCUUGUUGAGCUCACAAACUUGUGAUUCACACAAAUUUCAAAGAAAACUAAUGGCAUAAACAGAAAGUUUAUAAUUUUGCUGACCUAAAAGCAAAAAGAAUUAAAAAAUAAAGCAAAAAACAGAAAGAAAAUAAAUAAUGCAGAAAACAAAACAAAAAAACUUGAAAAAAAAUAAAAAUAGCAACAAUAAGUAUUUUGUUGUAAGUAGAAACAAAAUAAAAUAAAUAAAUAAAGCAAAAAAGUGUUUUCAAAUUUGAAAACUAAUGGCACUAAUAGAAAGUUUAUAAUUUUUCUAAAACUAAAAGCAAAAAGAAUUAAAAAAUAAAGCAAAAAACAACAAAAAAUAAAUAAUGCAGAAAGCAAAACCAAAAAACUGGAAAAAAAUAAAAAUAGCAACAAUAAGUAUUUUGUUAUAAGUUGAAACAAAAUAAAAUAAAUAAAGCAACAAAGAAAACAAAAAAACAAAUAAAGUGCCACCUACUGGGCCGCCACGGCCUGAAUACGACUAGAAACCCUAUCAUGGGCCAUGAUUCAGGCCCGCGGGAGGCCCAGUAGGCCCACAGGCACAGAUUGCACGGUUAGGCCCGAAAGGCUGCAGUUGAGAGGAGCUCGAGAGGGUGGGCGCAUUAGCGCUUAUAAACCACUCUCGAGCUCUCUCAACUAGCGNNNNNNNNNNNNNNNNNNNNNNNNNNNNNNNNNNNNNNNNNNNNNNNNNNNNNNNNNNNNNNNNNNNNNNNNNNNNNNNNNNNNNNNNNNNNNNNNNNNNNNNNNNNNNNNNNNNNNNNNNNNNNNNNNNNNNNNNNNNNNNNNNNNNNNNNNNNNNNNNNNNNNNNNNNNNNNNNNNNNNNNNNNNNNNNNNNNNNNNNNNNNNNNNNNNNNNNNNNNNNNNNNNNNNNNNNNNNNNNNNNNNNNNNNNNNNNNNNNNNNNNNNNNNNNNNNNNNNNNNNNNNNNNNNNNNNNNNNNNNNNNNNNNNNNNNNNNNNNNNNNNNNNNNNNNNNNNNNNNNNNNNNNNNNNNNNNNNNNNNNNNNNNNNNNNNNNNNNNNNNNNNNNNNNNNNNNNNNNNNNNNNNNNNNNNNNNNNNNNNNNNNNNNNNNNNNNNNNNNNNNNNNNNNNNNNNNNNNNNNNNNNNNNNNNNNNNNNNNNNNNNNNNNNNNNNNNNNNNNNNNNNNNNNNNNNNNNNNNNNNNNNNNNNNNNNNNNNNNNNNNNNNNNNNNNNNNNNNNNNNNNNNNNNNNNNNNNNNNNNNNNNNNNNNNNNNNNNNNNNNNNNNNNNNNNNNNNNNNNNNNNNNNNNNNNNNNNNNNNNNNNNNNNNNNNNNNNNNNNNNNNNNNNNNNNNNNNNNNNNNNNNNNNNNNNNNNNNNNNNNNNNNNNNNNNNNNNNNNNNNNNNNNNNNNNNNNNNNNNNNNNNNNNNNNNNNNNNNNNNNNNNNNNNNNNNNNNNNNNNNNNNNNNNNNNNNNNNNNNNNNNNNNNNNNNNNNNNNNNNNNNNNNNNNNNNNNAGGAAGAAAGGAGAAGAAGAGGGGAGAGGAAGAAGAGGAGAAAUAAAUAAGAAGAAGAAAAAAGAAGAAAAAGAAGAGGAGAAGAAGAAAGGAAUAGAGGAGAAGAAGAAAAAAUAGAAAAAAAUUCUAUUUUUUCUUCUUCUCCUCUAUUCUUUUCUUCUUCUCCUCUUUUUUUUCUUCUUCUUUUUCUUCUUCUUCUUCCUUCUUCCUUCUUCCUCUUUACUUCCUUUUUCCUUAUUUUCCUUUCUCGAGGGAUAAGAAGAAAAAGAAGAGGAGAAGAAGAAAGAAAGGAAUAGAGGAGAAAGAAGAAACUUUGACACGAGGGGGGGGUACCGAUACCCCCUCCCCGAUAACAUUAUUUUCCCAUGUAUAUGUAUGUUGCGUCGUUGUCGAUAUAACGAGGGUGUCGAGGAUCGCCGAGGGGUCGAGGGUCGGGAACUAGGGUAGAGGGUCGAGGGUCGUUAAGGGGUCAAGGGUCGAAGGUUUCAGGGUCGAGGGUUCCUAUAGUGUCAAAGUAUUGAAGAAAUCCAUGGCUUCAUCAUUAGCCGGAAGUAACCAUGGCAUGAUGGUACGAAGUCCUCCAAUGUUAUUCUGGAAUGGAGUCCUGAAUAGGAUAAUUUGCCUUUUUGUACAAAUCUCAGCAAAGGCCUUUCAAAUAACGAUAUUCGGAAGGUUCUUGCUGAACUUUGUACCAAAAAGCGAAUUAUCCUAUCUGGGAGUCCGUNNNNNNNNNNCUCCCCGAUAACAUUAUUUUCCCAUGUAUAUGUAUGUUGCUUCAUUGUCGAUAUAACGAGGGUGUCGAGGAUCACCGAGGGGUCGAGGGUCGGGAACUAGGGUAGAGGGUCGAGGGUCGUUAAGGGGUCAAGGGUCGAAGGUUUCAGGGUCGAGGGUCGUUAAGGGGUCAAGGGUCGAAGGUUUCAGGGUCAAGGGUUCCUAUAGUGUCAAAGUAUUGAAAAACUCCAUGGCUUCAUCAUUAGCCGGAAGUAACCAUGGCAUGAUGGUACGAAGUCCUCCAAAGUUAUUCUGGAAUGGAGUCCCGGAUAGGAUAAUUUGCCUUUUUGUACGAAUCUCAGCAAAGGCCUUUCAAAUAACGAUAUUCGGAAGGUUCUUGCUGAACUUUGUACCAAAAAGCGAAUUAUCCUAUCUGGGACUCCGUUCCAAAAUAACUUUGGAGAGCUUUGUACCAUCAUGCACCUGUUACUUUCACCUAAUGAUAAAGACAUGGUUUUGUUGAAUCCUUUGACACUAGGCAACCUCCCGACCCCUCGGCGAUCCUCGACCCCUUGACCCUCGACCGCUCGGCAAUCCACGACCCUCUACCCUACCGCGGGCGUCGAUGCCCACGUCACUUGUGGGACAUAGAUGUAGUGUUCAACGUCGACCCCCUCCCGAUAGCUUCAACACGUGGGGGGGUCGAUAUUACCCCUCCUUGAAGCGUUGUCGAGGCCACCCCCUAACCCUUGAAGCGUUGUCGAGGCCACCCCAAACCCUAGAGAAGCAGCGUUGAGGCCACUAAUAUGAUUCCUUAUUGUGAUUAGCUAGCUAGUUCUACGUUUUCCACUAAUAUAUCCAUAUCUGUCAUGUUUGAAUAAUAAUUGCCAUGUUGUAAAUAUUUGUAGAAACUAUGGACACCCCCCGAGACGAAGCACAAGAAGCGUUGUUGAGGGACAUAAUCCCACAAGGAAGUGAUGCCGUCUCCUCGUUGAUGUUUCUCAACGACAACGAUGGUCUGGAAGGAGAGGGUGAAGAAGCAGCUGGCUAUGAUUUACAUGGCUUCGAUGACCCAAUGCCGGUGCAAGAAGGAGAGGGUGAAGAAGUAGACCGUGAGGACGGCUCCGGUGAUCACCAAACCGAGUCCGGCCAGGUAUAUAUAUUAGUUAAGCCUGUGCUGACUAGCUAAUUGAUGCAUUCAUUGUUUUGGUAUGUACACAUAUUAAUUAACUCUCGUCUUUGUUCUUUUUUCUAGCCCUCCGGAUCGAGCACAACUUCGGUAAAGAGACGAGGCCCGAAGAAAAAGUUGAGCUCGGAUGAAAAGUUUGAGAUCAUACAAAUCGUGCGCGACGGCCAACCGAUUGAACCCUACCGGACAAAGAAGGCAUUUGUUGCUCAGUGCGGGCUUCUGGUUAGGGACAAGAUCCCGAUCAGCAUCCAGCAAUGGUAUAAGCGUAAGAACGAAGACCCUGAGGUGCCUUAUGUCAAUGAUAUGCAGAAAAAGAAUCUUUGGACUGAGCUGAAGUCAAAUUUCACCCUACCGCCGGAGGAUGAUCCGGAGAAGCCAGUUAUAGAGCCAUUAAUCCAGUCUUUUGCUCUGAAGAAGAUGGCAGACCUAUUCAGGAAUUGGAAGAAAGACCUCAAUAGGUAUGUCGAAAAAAAUGAGACACCAGAAUUCAUGGGCAAAUAUGAGAAGAUCAGAGAUGACUGGCCCGCAUUUGUGGCCUACAAGACAUCAGAAAAGAGUAAAAAGAUAUCGGCGAAAAACAAGAGAAAUGCUGAGAAGAAGAAGCUUCAUCAUCGCACGGGGUCAGGUGGCUACCUCGUAGCCCGGCCUAAGUGGGCCAAGGCUGAGAAUGAUCUGCUUGAUAAAGGGAUCGAACCAGAGACAAUGAACUGGCCAGAACGUUGCCGGACUUGGUUCUUUGGGGCCGGCGGAUCCUUGGACCCUAUAACAGGGAAGUGCAUUUGGACGGACGAACAAUUGGACAUACCAGUCAAGAGGCUUCAGCAAUAUAUCGAAGGAGCGCAACAAGGGACGUUUGUUCCAGACAGGGAGAAGGACGAGCUCACAAUGGCCCUCGGCAAUCCUGAGCACCCUGGACGGACACGAGGCACGCCAGGCUCCAUUUCGUGGAAGGCUGGAUUUCCGGACGCAGGGGGUUACAAAACCCAGGAGAGGAGGAAGAAACUGGAGCAGAGCCAACUGCAGGCGCUGCACGAAAGGGCAAUGGGGCUAGAGGAACGAGAAGCAGAUCGCAGAAAACGACCUGCCGAAGCUUCCCCCGAAGCUACCCCGCCAUCUCAGCGGAGAAGCAGCGUGGCUUCCACCGAGCUGCUUCAGCCAGAGCAUGCCUUGACGGCUCCUGCCAGCUAUCCCGUGGAUGCUAUCACGGAUGCUGAAAAUUGCCACCUUAUGGCGCAAUGGAGCAAUUUGAAGGUCAAGGCGGCUGUUGGCUCUGUUUAUCCUACUAAACCCGACUCAACUUUUCACUGCCGGCCGAUUCCAGAAGGAUAUGCUAAGGUGAUGGUCGAUGAAAUAACGGAGGGAUUUGAGGACCUCCGGCUUGACCACCCUACCGGUGAAGGGGAGUAUCGGCUGGGUUCUACUCUAAAGACUCCAUGCCUAUGGCGGAAGGAUCUCAUCAACCUUCCGAACUGGAUGCCUCCGCCUUCUCCUCCUCCUCCGGCGAGUCAGGGCACUCCGCCUCCUCCACCGCCUCCUCCUCCGGCGAGUGACGAUCAGGGCACUCGGCCGGCUCCUUCUCCGGCGCGUGGCGGCACUCCGCCUCCUUCUCCGCCUGCGCCGGCGCGCCCGAGCAGCCAGCCUCCUCCUUCUCCGCCUUGUCAGCAAGGGCGGAAGAGACCCGCCGCCGCUCCGGCUGCUCCGGCGCGUCGUAGUCCUUCUCCUCCGCCUCGUAAGCAAGGAAAGAAGACAUCCGCUCCGUCUACUCUGCCGGUGUCUAGCAGUACAUCCAAAGGCGGGAGGAGAUACAGAUUCGGUCCUUCUCUGAAGACUCCAGAGAAGUUACCGUACGAGAGGAGCGAGGAGGAAAACGCGAAGAUCGCGCAGACCGAAGUGGAUGACUGGUUUCAAGGGUUGAAAGAAAAGAGACAUCCACCUCCGGAGGAGAAGGUAGAUCCGGUGAAAGCGAAGCGCACUCUGGCUGCCCUGACAAAACCACCCAAGUCUCCGCCGAAAGGCAACUAUGAGCGCAUUAUUGGAAAGGCAUUUGCCGAAGCGGAGAGGUUGGGAAGUACUAAAAGUGAUCAAAGGAUGAAAGAACGACGAGCUGGGAAACAAAUUGCCCAGCUCGGCGAACAAGCGAAGCAAUCGUGCCCCCCGCUCAAGGUGCCUGCUAGCGACAUCGUCGAUCCGAGGAUGGUGCCCGGUUAUGGCAAUCCUGCAGAUUACCUGCCCGACGAUGUACAUUAUGAUAUCUUGGAGGUGCAGAUACAAAGAUACGAGUACGGGAAGCCUCUCGUCAAAGAUGAAAGUUCUCUAUCAACGAUGAUGCGAAGAUUGCAUGAUUGGUACAUGAAAACCUGCAAAGAGUCUGAGGGGAGGAGUACUUUGUAUGUGAGAGUUAAAAAGGAGCAUGACCUCCUUGGAAUUGAACUGUUGCCUAUUCCAUUUGAGGAGUUCUAGUAGUUUUUCAAUCAAUUGGCCAUCGAUAAAGCAACGUUCACCUCCUACUGUCUGUAAGUAGUACUACUUCUGUCAUUAAGUCUCUCUAUAUAACUCAGCCCUUUCAUUGCAUGUAUUUAUAAUUAUCCUCACUAUAUUAUGCAGAUUGAAGAUCGCCGAAUUGAAGAAAAGACAAGUGGGAGAUAUUGGGUUCAUUAACACGUAUCUCAUAGAUGCAACUGAGGUUCAAUAUCGUGCCCAAGAAACCGAGGCCAACUUGCUACGAUCAUUGGAAAUAAAUGAACACAAAGAUAUAAUACUCUUUUCUUACAACUUCAAGUGAGUGUUACUGUCUUGUGGCAUAUUUAGUUUCCUUAUUAGUCUAGGUUAUAGUAAUGUAAUAUUGAUGAGUUAUGCAUGUGUGCGCAGCUACCACUAUAUUCUCCUAGAGAUUAAGCUUGAGAAGGGAGUAGUAACUGUCUUAGACUCCAAGCGAAAAGAUCCCAAGGAGUAUGCGGACAUGACUGAAAUGCUCGAGAAGUAAGUUAAAUCGAUCAUUAUCCACCAUAUCAGCAACUUUGUUCAUUUCUGAUAUCAAGUAAUUGUUUUCUUUGUAUGGCAGGGCUUGGAGAAAAUUCACCAAAAAAGCUCCGGGACUACCGAAGAAGCUGCAAUUUAGGCACCCGAAAGUAAGUACUAUAUAGUAGCAUAUUCCAGGCAUCUCCUAGUGAUUCAAGCGCUAGUUUCAUCAAUACCAUUUAGCAUGCUUGCUAAUUAUCAGUUUGAUUGACCUCUAUUUCUUGUAAAGUGGUUGUGGCAGGAACAAGGAAAUGAUUUCUGUGGAUUCUACAUUUGCGAGUCCAUCCGCCACACGACCUGUGAGCGGGGCUACUCCGACAAACAAUAUGAAGUGCGUAAAUAACAAUAUUCACAAUUUUAUUUUAUUACCAUCAUUUGUGUUGAGUUUCAUUCAUUCAUAUAUACAUAUAUAUAUGUAUUGACCCCCUUCUUAAAAUUAGAUGUUUCGGAUGCGGGAUGAACUCCUAGCACCAGAUCGCGUGCGAGCAAUUCAAGAGGAAUUGGCGGCAUUCUUUCUUGACGACGUGAUCACUGAAGACGGAGAAUACUAUGUGGACCACGCGUCCGUAUUUUAGGAGAUUAUAUAUUUGUAAAAGAUAAUUAUUGUAUAUAUGUAGCCGGUAGUGUCGGAUAGAUAUACGAGAACUUGUUGUUCGACCAAUCUCUCGGAGAAGGAGAGGUGGUCGAUAUCACUUCUCUCUGCAUGCAUAUAUGUUCAUGACGAUCUUCUGUUUGCUUACUAGCUAGCUAGCGUGUCUAGCUAGUCCUCUCUAUACGUAUGUAUGGUACGUAGCAUUGACCAAGCACGGACAAAAGAGAGGACACUUCUCUCUAUUAAUUAGCUAGCUAUAGCAUAAUAUAUGAAACACCUAAAUUAACCCCCCNNNNNNNNNNNNNNNNNNNNNNNNNNNNNNNNNNNNNNNNNNNNNNNNNNNNNNNNNNNNNNNNNNNNNNNNNNNNNNNNNNNNNNNNNNNNNNNNNNNNNNNNNNNNNNNNNNNNNNNNNNNNNNNNNNNNNNNNNNNNNNNNNNNNNNNNNNNNNNNNNNNNNNNNNNNNNNNNNNNNNNNNNNNNNNNNNNNNNNNNNNNNNNNNNNNNNNNNNNNNNNNNNNNNNNNNNNNNNNNNNNNNNNAAAAAAAACAAAAACCCCAGCCACAGAAAUGCUGACGCGUGGAUGCCUAUUGGUCCCGGUUGGUGCCACCAACCGGGACCAAAGGCCCUCCUGCCUGGGCUCAGCGGACAGGCCACGUGGAGGCCCAUCUGUCCCGGUUCUGGAUUGAACCGGGACUAAAGGGUCAGGGCAUUAGUACCGACCCUUUAGUCCCGGUUCAUGAACCGGGACUAAAGGCCCUCACCAACCGGGACUGUAGGCCCUUUUUCUACUAGUGUAGUCACUAACUUAAAUGUCUAUAGCUGUUAUUUAGGCAUGAUACUUAUAUUAUGAAAGAACGGGAAAAUACACCAAUAGUUAUCCUAUUCAAUUCCUUAAUUUGCUUGUGCCAGUACUUAUGUUGAUCUUCGAAUAAUCUCAGUUCCUAUGAUUUCUGAAUGCUCAACAUCAGCAUUGUUUUCUGGUAUUAUAUAAUUGCUGCCACAUCUCUAUCCUGAAUUCCCUUAUUCCUAAUUCUUCAUCAGAAUAAAAUGCAACAUGUGUUCCCGUCCUAGUCUUUUUGGUGUCCUGCACAAUUAUCUCAUUGUCAGCAACAUGCUUAUACAAAAACAUCACAUUUUUUUGUUAAUUAACACAAAAUAAUAAUUAUAUAAUGUGGCAUGUGGUAGAUAGUGAACAAUAUAGAGCAUCCUAUACACAAUAAUCUUGGUAACUAUACUUGAGGUAUAGGCAUCUACCAAUUGUUGUGCACAUAUUUUCCGUAUUUGUUUGUCCUAUUGAUGUCACAAUCAUCCAUAUCUAUCCAGAAUUUUGCAGAUUUCUUAAUCAUUUUUUUUGCUCUACCUAAAACAUGGUGCAGAUUGUUGUUGCACCCAAAUAACAUGUCUCUAGCUUAUGUUUGUGCAUAUAAAUAGUAUGGCAUAUAUAGGCCUGUGCACGAUGAAUUACUAUCCAAAUAAUGAGACACUAUCAAAUGCGCCGUAGACAUUUCCGCUCUAAUUCUAUUUCACACAUGUGAUAUUAGAAGUUGUUGUCUUAUUUUUACACUUUUUUGUUGCAUUUGCAGCGUCCUAAGUAGUACAACUCUUCUGGUGUAAUAAUGAACUUCAUUGUUGCUUCUAUAUUACAGAACUUUCCCUCUCCAUUAGAGGUUAAAUUAGCAUAUAAGAAAAAUGUAACAAAAGGAAUGUAAAACAAAAUAAUAAGAAAUUCCCUUUUAAAUAUUCAUAAGUAAUUUCAGUUAUUUCUUCUAAUGUUCUUCUUUAUAGAGCAUCGUUUUGGGAGCUAAACAUGUUUUUGCAUGUACAUAAGUAUUGCUGGACGUGCUAGUAAAAUAUUUUUUUAUACAAUUUAAGGAGAGUAGUGUACAUGCACUGACAUUACUUUUGUAUAUACUAAAUAAAUAUACCCAUAGCAAUUCUUACAUCCCGUUAAUAUUAUACGCACAUGUUAUCUUUCUCAGAGUCGUUGAUAUUACCAUAACAAACAGGGCCCAAAGUACCUUGAUGGUUCUUUUUUUAUCUGUGUAUAUUCCAGGAGUCUUACCUAUUAACAACCAUGCGUACAUUGACUAAUUUAGUCCCUUAUAAUAUACUCACUCAAUUCGGACCAGAACAUCUUCAAUAUUCGAAUCACAUGAGUUGUGUGUUUGUUCAGUAUUUCCGAUGUAAGUUCCGAUGCUAACGACAUCUACUAUAUAAAGCGGUUUUAAUAUGAAAAGACCAUAUGAAUUCAUAAUCAACAAAUAUAGUUAUGCAAGAUAAGUAAAUUGUCAGGCAUGUUUGCUCGAAAGAACUUCAAUGCUAGAAAAUGAGCAUCUUAGUUCGGCUACCCCAAUUUUUUUAGACAUUUUAUAUCGUGAAAUUUCAUAAUGUGAAAAAAAAUCAGUAUCUUGUCGCCUUCAAAUGGAUGGAAAUUCCACAAAGAUGUAACCUAUUGCUACCAUGGAAACGGAAGAUUGGUAGACCAAAGGCAAUAUCUUGCUAACCAAUGUUUCAUUACCUUGCCAUGAAGCAAAUACAAUGCAUUAUGAUAUACAAAGAAGCCUAUAAAUUCAUAGUGACUUCUAUAAGUGAUAACUUCCUAUUUAAUCCAUUUCCUUGCUAAUUGAAUCAAGCAUAUCAGGUGCCAUUGCUUUCGAACCAAAUAAACAAAUAAAACAUGACUUCAAUACAUAUGAAAGGAAUACAAAAUUGUGGAGAUUAUUAGAGGCGCAAGCCGAGUACAAAACUUUGAUUAACUCUUGGUUGCCGUGAAAUAUGUAAACAAUGUGAACUGCAUACUCUACUAAUAUGAUUGAAAAAAACUGUAUAACAAAUCGCUAGGAAAAAUAUUUCAUUGCUUUCAGGGUUAAUGGCAUGCUAAAGCCUAAUUACCUUUCCAGGAAUGCUUUGCAUGAUUAUUCGCAUCGAGUAUAUUGCAGACCAUUUUUUCAACCUAAGACUGCAAAAAAGAAAUAAUGUAGAACUUGAAUAUAACAAAUUAAUGGAAUACAAAAAAGAUUAAUCGCUACAAAAACAAAAUUCUUAAGAUUAGUAGUUGUUUACUCUCUAGGGUAUUAGAGUUAAUCCCGUGUCCGCCAUGUAUGCAUGUGUAUCCUACAUGGAUGCGUAUGCCAGGUUAUUGUAUUAAGUCAAGCGUAGUAAUAUAUAUACAUGUAUGUACAUAACACUCCAUAUGUAAUCGAUAGUGGGAUCAAUAGAAAGAAAUCAAAUAGGACCGACAUGGUCCUGUGGCCAUCAAUUCGCUGUGUGCUCCUGUGUCGUGUGCGUGCGUUGUUUCUAGUGGAAAUUAUCCUGUUCAUCCGUAUGUACUGUCGUACACGCAUCAAGCCGGUGGCUCUACGUGUGUGAGUUAGCUUCAUACGUGUGACUUCGACGGAAUCCAUCCACCUGCAUGUCUGCUAGCUUCUGAAGCUAGCAUUGCACGUACACGCGCUACUCUCGUCAAUUGAUUUUUUGUUCUAAAACUAAAUUAGGGAAGCUGCUACCAAAUUCAAGGAUUUAAUUUGAAAAAAAAAGAGUAACACUACUAUCAAGUCAGUUCUUCAUGCAAUAAGUAAGCAACAUGUUUCAUCUAACCAACUGAACAAAUAAUUGCUAAAAAAAUAUUGGGUGGGAGGACGAUUCGCUAACCUGCGCAAUGACAGCAACCGACCAGAGACAACCUUGGCGCAGAGUGGGAGAAUCUUGGGCAGCGAUGAUGGGAAUAGUUCGUGUGCUCCGACCUGAUCUCUAUGAAGCAUCCAAAAUUUAUACGUGAGAAGAUUCAAAAUCCGAUCCGUGGAGACGGCAUAAACUGAUUCCACAUCCAAAGGAAAGCCAUGGUUGAUUUCGCUGUAAACCUGCAAGAAAAUAAAUUCAGAAUAAAUAGUGUGAAAAAAUAUGGAUCUAAUACAUUAGGAAAAACUUCUUGAGGACACAGAACCCAUCCUACGAUUUUGUUGUCCUGUGAGGCCGAGAGAGAUAAUGUAGAGAAGGAGAUCAUGGAUGGAUUUGUCUUCCAUCUAGGGGGGAGAGAGAUAAUGAAGAAGAAUAGAUCGGGAGCGAUAGAGAGAGAUGGAGACACUUGGACAUAAGUCACUCGCGUCUGCCCCCCGCUCGGGUGACUCGGGGGCUCCCCAACCCUAGCCGCCGCCGGGCCUAGCCCAUCUUCCUCCCCUCCUUCUGCCGCCGUCGGAGGAUGCCGCCGGCUUGUGCCCGGAGGCCAACGGCGGUGGCGGGGGUUCUUCCUCCCUCCUGCGUCUCAGGGGUGACGGGGCCCCAACAUGCGUGGAGGUGCGGCCGAUCUAGAUGCGACGGCGUUGGCUUCGACGACGACGGCGGUCGGCCCUGCCUUGGCUACGGGCGGCGGCUACGGCUGCUGGCCUGGAUCGGGCGGCGGCGCGAUGCGGUCUUCGGCGGCAUGUCAUCUGGUUUUAGAUCGGCGGCGGCGUCGAGGGCCUGGUGGACUGCUUGGCGGCACCCAUGGCAUAUCUGUUCUGGCCGGUGUAGCCAGUGGUGAUGGUCAUCUUCUUCGUCGGUGGUGGCCGGCCAGAAGCUUGGUGAUCGGAUCUCGAGAGCCAUCAUCUAGUCCCGGCUGCGAGUUGGGGAGACAUGGUUGCCGGUGAAAACCGAGCCGAUGGCAGGCGAUGGCGACGUUCUACGCUGUUACCUUGAUGAAGGCAUCGUCGUGUAACUACUGUCGACCCACUCGUGCUGCUCCGGGGGAAAUCUUAGGAUCUGGUGUUCCAGAUCGGACGAUGGUGGCACUACGGUGUCGUUUCUCUCUUGGGAGCAUCGUUUGUGGAGCAGUGCUGGAAGUCAGAGGCAGGAGGUGGAGCGGCUUCGUCUUGCACGGAGCUUCGGUGGAGAUGUCAAGUCAUGCCUGACCGACAGGUGCUACGCUUGGUCAUGCCUGGUCGGCAGGUGCUACGCACGACAGAUCUUCCAAGGUCAAGCUAUGUCGGCUGGUGGUACUUGGCAGCAUGGCGCUGAGGUAUAUCAGUGACGACCGCGACGUGCUCAGCUGUUUGCGCGCAGGGAGGAGGUGCCGUUGGGCGCCGUGGUGGCGUCGACGAUAGCUAGACCGAGCAAGGUUGAUGCAUCAGUACAGUUCUGAAGAUGGAGCGCUGGCAGUUGGCGGCGGCGGCCUCUGAGAGCACGCCGGACCAGUGUGUGCCCCAGACCCAGCAAGUGGCUAGGUUGGGAUUUUAGGUCUUAGAUGUUAGGCUUGGCUGCGAUGUCUGUUUGGUAUUAGGCCCAGGCUAUCUGCGCCCCUUCAUCAACUGGAUAGGUGUAGUGACAUUUGUUGCUUAGACGGCGGCUUUAGUCUUACUGUUGUAUGGCUUUGUAAGGUCUUGUGAGAAUAAUUAAUAAAGUGGCUGUAUGCAUCGCCCAAAUGCAGUGGCCAGGGGUCAUCCUCCUUUUCUAAAAAAAAAGAGAGAGAUGGAGAGGCGAGGCGAGGCGGCGGUGGAGGGAGAGCGAGAGAGAGAAGAGGCGAGAAGCGGUGGAGGGAGAGCAUCGCUGGAUGGACGCAAGGAGAUUUUUUUUACAAAGCUGAAUCCAUUUUUUUACAAAGUGCGUGGACAAUUUUUUUUAACCUGCGUGGACAGGUUUUGUAUCUAGAUUGAAUGUCAUCCCGUGAUUGUUGUGGACUCUUUGUUUUCAUUCAGAGAGACGUGAGAGAUUAAGAGAGUUUAGUUCUGGGAGAUAUGAGAGAGAUACGUGAGUUUUUUUAGUUCUAUGAAUCGAUCUACACCGUAAUAAUUCAGGCCCAUCAAAUUAACGGCUCGUAAAAUCUAAUUAAUGUGAGAAUUUUUAGGAAGUGCCUAAUUAGUAUAGGUAUAGAGGUAUAGAUAGAUAGAUAGAUAAAUGGCCGUAUGCAUCUGCCAGAUGCAGAGGUCGGAGGUUAUCCUCUUUUUCGAUUUUUUUUGAUAAUUUAAAUGAUUCAUAUAUAUUCAAACUAAAAUCCAUUUUUUGUUUUUUGUAUGUUGAAUUCCAUGCUACAUGGCCUUUAGAAUAAAGAUCAAUAUUAUAUGGCAUUUAAAUUUUUUUAAACUUCAUUAUUUCAACCAUAUUUCAAGUGACUGGAAUAUGUGUUAAAUAAUGUUUGAGAUGUGGGUCGCGACAUGGCCUUUAGCACUCGAUAGGUAGUCAAUCCAUGUAUUAUUGCCCAAAACAUCGUUGUUGAUGUAUACUGUUCAACCUUCUCCCACAGUUUGAACUUUCGAAACAACUAGCUGCAGCAUGAAUUCAAUAUGGUAUUAACGUCAGGAGGUCUUGAGUUGAAGACCCUGCCAAUGCAAUAUUAAAAAGGCGAGCUCUUUUACGGUGAUUGUGGAGUUACGAAACGUAAUUUCAUGUAACUACUCCUUUGAUUAUUCUCCACCGUUGAUUUAAACCUAUUAAGUAAAAAGAUUAAGUUUAAUCAACAAGGCUAUUAUGGUCAUGGGUGACUGUUUUUUUAGCACUUCUGUCAAUUCCCUUGUCAAUCGCCCGCAUCUGGCCUAACCCAUCUCGCGCGAGGACCUGGAGACGGCGGCGCAGGAGCGAGGACUAGGUGACGCCGCCAGCGCGAGAACCUGGAGGCAACGCCGCCGGCGCGAGGUCAUGGAGGCGAAGCCCAGUCUUUGCUUGGUCUUUGUGGCCGCUCCCUCACAGCCCCCCCCGACGCCGGCGCGAGGUCCUAACGACGCCGACCCGAGGUGGAGGCCCCGCCUGCGCUUGGUCGUAGUGGUGUACCAACGCAGCAAGGUAUCUCUUCCCCUGCCCCCAUCUCUUCCUUCCGUCCCUCUCUCCCUGCUGUUAGUUCUGUCGGCGGCGGACCAACUGCUCGUUGCAGCACCUUCAUAUAUAGAUCCGGUUAGGGUUGAGCAGUGAACACACCUCAUUUAGAUAUUCCAGUACUGAAAUUGGUGGGGGACAAACACUGACCUCUGAAUCGCCUAUUGUUAAUGACAAAAUGUUGGUAACAUAGUUUCAUUUGUUGAUGGAUUAGUCUGUCGGGUCAGACAUCUCUCGGAGUCUUGGCUAGGAUGGCAGAGAGAUACUACAUUUUUGUACUGAUUCAUGCGUAAUUAAGCUACCUGGUGAUGAAAAAUAGGUGCAACUUGAAGUGAUGAGUCGUUAAAUAUUCCUUGCUAUGAUAAAGUUUUCAGAACUAUGGAAAGUGUGUUAUAUGCUGCUUAGAGAUUGUAUAGCUGGAGGCGCCUAACAAUUGUAGAAGACAGUAUGCACUGGUUUUGUGUGUACAUCAGUGUAUCAUAAAUUCAUAAACUGUAGUAUCAAUCUUCUCAGUGCAAAACUGGGGACUACAAUUCCAUGGCACUCGCAUGCUGAGAACUUCAAAGAGUAAAUCAUGAGUCGUCAGUGAACUUUUGUUCCAAGCUCACUACUGCCCAGCGCCUGUGGUGGACAUUCAGGUAAAUCUCGAGUCGUCAGUGAACUUGUUGGUGUGUUAUUUUAGUCUAGCAAACCCGACAGUAAUGUGACUUUCUGUUUCAGAUAUUGAGAUAUGGACCUCCUUGUUGGAAAUUCGCCCACAGGAUCGAUCACAUCAAAUCACGAUGAACACGCACACGCAAAAACUGAUGGCCAAAGGCACGUGUCGUGCCCUCUUUUCUCCCUCUUUAUUUCUUUUCUUGUUUUCUCUUCACGGUGUUACAAAUCUCACGUUGGGGCUGUGCAUAUAUAGCAUAAACCACCGACCCUUUGACCUCUCCUAAGCCUACACGGACAUAGCAUAAAUUCCAAACCGGACUCAAGACUCCAAUUAUGACACGGACUAGCCUAAACCUAUAGCGCAUGUGAUCAAGAUCCUAACCGGACUCUCCUAAUCACCGGCAAGCUUGAUCACCUUUUGCUAACUAAACUUCAAACUUGUUUGGAUUAAGCUAACACUCCUCCGAUGAAGAAAGAGUUCCAUGGCUGCAAACCUAGACGACCUUGGGUACAUCAAGGAGAUGCAGUUCCAGUUCUAAGUUUCAACGGUGCAAGCUACCAAAAUAAUGGGUCGCAUGGCGGUUCUUAUUAUUUUAAGUUAGGCAUGAGCUGACUGAUACCAUUUAGCUCGUCCGGAAAAAAAUCCAUAGUCCAUGAAGUGUCAUUUCUGAUGAAUGAUAGCAAGCCUAAUUGAGAGAUUGUGUCACUGUACCGUGCCAGUUAUAUAAUGCAUGUUGUUCUGUGUCCAGUGUCACUUGUGUCCGUAAUGUUAUUAUUUGCUGAAAGACAGAAGACAACGGCUAGAUUAUAUCAGCAUGCCAGAAAUGAGUUGGUAUUUGAUGAACUGCUCAAGCAGUCAAGCUGUCGAGAAAUAAAUAUACAUCGUUUUAG